This 55319-nucleotide long non-coding RNA is filed under the name Nicotiana benthamiana. Its description in RNAcentral is "long non-coding RNA (NBEN_LNC021490)". Lineage: Eukaryota; Viridiplantae; Streptophyta; Magnoliopsida; Solanales; Solanaceae. The record is from RNAcentral.
GAACUCUGAGGUCUGUGGCCGAGGUAGAUAUACCUUGAAGUCUCCAAGUGUCGCUGCUCAUUGAUGACGUGGCUGGUAAGAAGUACCUGGAUCUGCAAACGAAAACAUGUGUAGAAGAGUAGUGUGAGUACACCACGACGGUACCUAGUAAGUGCCAAGCCUAACAUCGGUCGAGUAGUGACGAUGUCAGGUCAAGUCACUAUAUAUAUAUAUAUANNNNNNNNNNNNNNNNNNNNNNNNNNNNNNNNNNNNNNNNNNNNNNNNNNNNNNNNNNNNNNNNNNNNNNNNNNNNNNNNNNNNNNNNNNNNNNNNNNNNNNNNNNNNNNNNNNNNNNNNNNNNNNNNNNNNNNNNNNNNNNNNNNNNNNNNNNNNNNNNNNNNNNNNNNNNNNNNNNNNNNNNNNNNNNNNNNNNNNNNNNNNNNNNNNNNNNNNNNNNNNNNNNNNNNNNNNNNNNNNNNNNNNNNNNNNNNNNNNNNNNNNNNNNNNNNNNNNNNNNNNNNNNNNNNNNNNNNNNNNNNNNNNNNNNNNNNNNNNNNNNNNNNNNNNNNNNNNNNNNNNNNNNNNNNNNNNNNNNNNNNNNNNNNNNNNNNNNNNNNNNNNNNNNNNNNNNNNNNNNNNNNNNNNNNNNNNNNNUCUCGUAGUACCAAAGUAAAUAUAUAGUACUAACAAUAGAAAUAGCAGCUACAACACUAAAUCCUAUCGUUAGACUUAGUGCAAGUCAAGUAAAGGUAGGGAAUCCACUAAGCAUACUGCAUAGAGUUCAUAUAAACAAUUAAGACAUGUAGAUAUGUUAAACAGGACAAUUACACAUGCUAGUAUAACUCAAUUAAAGCAAAACAGGUUAUUACUUAGUGAAAAAAUGGAGCUUUACAACAACUAGGGCGUGUAUGCACUCGUGACUUCAUCUACACAGAGCUCACAUAUCAUAACAGUACCAAAUCCAAAGGGGAGCUUCCCCGCCACAAGGUUAGGCUAGCCACUUGCCUCGAAUUAGGUCAAUCAAUCGGUAACAAUGCCUUCUCCAUAAAUAUCCGACUCUGAAUGGCCAAAAUCUAGCCAAAAGCAAUUACAUAUCAAAAAUACAACUCUAAUAGACUAAUUUAAUUAUUGAAAUCAAGACUUUAAUAAAAAAAAUUAAAAAUCACCCUAAAAAGCUUCCCUGGCUCACGUCUCAGAAUCGGGUAAAAGUCACAAAAUAUGAACACUCAUUCACUCACAAGUUUACUCGUACCAAAAUUAUCCAAAUUCGAUAUCAAAAUCCCAAAAAAAUCCAAAAUCUUAGUUGAAGAACUUCUACCAUUUUUACCCAAAUUUCUCAACCACAAUCAUUAAUUAAAUAAUGAAAUCAACCAUAGAUUAGUAGAAUAUAACCAUAAAGGAGUUAAGAAUCGUAACCAAAAGCUUUCUCUAAAAAUCCCUCAACUAAUUGCCCAAUCCGAGCUCUCAAAGUCCCAAUAUUGAAAAUGGGAUAAAACCCUCGAACUUGGCACUUUUUUGCCCAUCGAUUAUGAAUCUCCGGGCCAAUAAUCACACCUGCAAUGUCGCGCCUACAGAAAUUCCAUCGCAUGUGCGGACUUUACUUAAGUACCCUAGGUCCAUAUCUGCGAUAAGGUGGUUACAAAUGCAUGUGUGGACCAACAGAAUUCACCUCGCACCUGUGACCCCUGCCAAACAUUCCAAACCUGCCUCUGCGUCUGGCCUCUACGCAUGUGCGAUCCCACAUGUGUGGUCCCCCAACAACAGGUGCAAAUACACCAGCAACCAAAAAUCUUCAGCAAUUGCAUAAGUCAAAAUUUCAAAUCAUUGACCAUACCAAACACACCCGAGGCCCCUGGGACCGCAACCGAACAUACCAACAACGCCUAAAACACCAUAUGAACUUAGUCGAGACCUCAAAUCACAUCAAACAACGCCAAAAACAUGAAUCACCCUCCAAUCUGAAUUUAAUGAACUUGAAACUUCAAAUUUCUACAACUGAUGUUGAAACCUAUCAAACCACGUCUGAUUGACCUCAAAUUUUGCACACAAGUCAUAUUCAAUAUUUCGACAUACUCCAACUUCCAAAACACAAUCCGGCCCCAAUAUCAAACGUUCAUUACCAGUCAAAAUAUCCAAAAAUUUGACUUUUGUCAUUUCAAGCCUAAAUUAGCUACAGACCUCCAAAGCACAAUUCGAAAAUGCCCCUAAGCCCAAAACCACCCAAUGAAGCUAACAUAACCGAUGAAACUCCAUUCCGAAGUCAUCUUCACGUAGUUCCUACUACAGUCAAUAUCCUAAGGCUUAAGCUUCCGUUUAGGAACUAAAUGUCCUAAAACACUCUGAAACAAAAAAAAAAAAGAAAAAAGAAAAGAAAACCUCCAGGCAAGUCGCAGAAGUAGAAAAAAAUACAUGAAAAACAGAAAAUAGGAGCUCGGGGAUAUUACUUGACACACGUCCUACUUACAGCACCCGCGAGGGCACAAAUGAGGUUUUCCAAUUAAAAGACAAUCGAAACGGAACUUGUUUAUUAAGAUUCAGAGUCGCCACUUAUGAUAUUUAUGGUGUCCCAAGUCACCGUUGAAUCUCGAAUCGAGGAAAAGAUUGACUCUGUUUAACAGUACGCGAACCAGAAAUCCGAAUAAAGAAUUUUGUUAACCCGGGAGAAGGUGUUAGGCAUUUCCGAGUUCCGUGGUUCUAGCACGGUUGCUCAACUGUCAUUUUCGGCUUAUUUAUCUUAUUUUAAUACAUGUUAAACAUAUUUGCAAAUUUUAACUUUUAACCGCUUUUAUUAUUUAUUCAUAUUUAGCUUAUUUAUUCAAUUUUAUUACACGUUGUAACUUAUGUGAAAAUUUUAACUUUUAACUGCUUUUAUUUAAAUUAUUAAAGAAGAUUGAACAUCAUCUGAAAUAUGUCUUUGGAUUGCACCGCAUGAAAUGAACCCGCAAUCCAGAACAUACCUGAGUCGAUGCUUUGGGAUUUAGAUUUGGGUUUCAUGAAUUGCACACCCGAGUUUAGGGAGGUAAAAUUAUUAAUUACGCACCUAAAGAUACAAACGCGUUAUUAUUUGGAGAAAGCCGUGAAAUUCGCUAAACGGCAUGUCCCGCAGUAUAAAAUAUUUAUUAACCUUUAUUGAGGGCCCCACAUUUUACGUAUUUUUAUUUGGCGAGGCACACCUCAUAUUUAUUUAAAGGACAAUCCUUAAGUGGCUACAUUGUCUAUUUUUUUUGUUGUCUCUAAAAAAUAAAAUUAAAAAAAAAAUCAUAGUUAAUUACAUGCUUGAAAAGGCAUCUGUUAUUGGCUACUAGCUUACGACAAAUGCUAACAAAAUAUUUACAAUCGAACUUGCGCAAAGAGAAAUUAUUUCAUGCCUUAUUCUAUAACCCUAUAUUACUAAGAUUUGAAAAUAGAUAGAUCAACGGAUUAAAAAAUAAUAUUAAUCAAAAUAAACUAAUUUUCAUUUAAUUAAAUCAAAUCCACAUGGUUGUAAGAAUUGAACCGUUGGAAAUGCUUGUUUAUAACUAGUAGAAAUAAAAACCAACCUUAAUUACCAAAGCUUGCAAAAGUUUGUUAAAAAUAUCUUAAUCCACACUUGGAAAAAUCUAUUAUAAUUAAAGGAUCUCUAACCCUCCUUGUUCGAACUCAGCUUGCCUUUUUUGUGAAUCCCAAUAUACCAGUUAUUAACUAGAACAACUCAACUAAUGAUUAAUUAACUUAAAACCUGAUACAUUUGAAUAUGUUAUGACUGAAAUGAAUUGGAGAUGGCAUGAUGUGCAUACUACACCGUUGGUUCUUUUCUAACUAACAUUCAUAGGAACGAGUUUGUAAUAAAACUAAAACUACUACGGAUCAAUACUUAUUUAUACAUUACAAUUAUUCACAUGCUUCUAAUGAAUUAAUAACUAACAUGUAUACAUCUCAGAAAAUAAAUUACAACUAAAUGACUUCAAGCCUUAAGGCUGCCCUUUUUUUUCAUGCUUCAAAUAUUCCAACUUACAUUGUGUACCAGUAAAGUAGUUGUGUACCUGGUAUUUUUCACACGAAGGAGAAAGGAAGAAUCAGUAAUGCAGUAGUACAAACACAGCGACAGCAGUAUAGCAGGUUCAGCGACAGCCUAGUAAUAGAUUAAAAAUCGAGUAGCAAUUUUCGGAAAAAAAAAAACUCCAAACAGCAACACCCAAAUGCACCCGAAAAAUAGCACCAACCAGUGUAAUCAAAUAGAUAACCAAUGCAGAUUUAAAAACAGAGGAAAAACCCAGCAGAAAACCAACAAAGCGGUAGCAAAGUUCUAAUAACACUUAAAAGAUGCACAAGCUGAAGCUCAUGUUUGUGUAAGCUUAAGUCUUACUUUCAAAGAAGAAAUAAAAGAAAAAUAAUUUUUGUUCUUAAUCUUUUAAGCUCUGAAAAUUUUUGAUCUCCAAAUUCCCCUCCUUUCUAAGUGUCAAAUGACUCUUAUUUAUAUCUAAAAAAUACGACUCUCUCCACUAUUCUUUUAACUAUUAACUAUAAUAUUUCUGAUUUUUAAUCAAGCAAAAGUAGUCAAACACGGACCCCACGAUCCACCCUCUUUUUAGUUUACAUCAUUAUGCUCCCCACAAGUCUUUUCCCCUCUUAUUUUAAUUAAAAAUUAUGGGCCCACAUUUAAUCAAUUUCUAAAAUACCCUCGAAAUUACAAAAAAUUACUAUUAUACCCCAAUCCUCCGAUCUGUACCCAAAAUUAUCAACUGACCGACAUUGAUUCUUAAUUCAAACAACAAAUCAUUACAUCUAUAACCAAAUUCUAAUUAAAUUUAGCAAUUAAUCACAAACUAAAUGAUGAACAAUAAAUAACCAACUAAAAUUAUUUUGGCUGAACAAUAUUUGUUAACAAUAAACAUACUUUCACGUUUAACAACAAUAACAAACAAAUAAAUUCAAAUCACUAAACUCAUAUUCAAAUUAAACUUAACAAAUCAAACAAAUAAAUUCAAAUCUCUAACUUAGAUCCAAAUUUAGACUUAAAAUAAUAAUAAAACAGAUUCACAUCACUAAACUCAAUAAUCAAUUGAACAUCAAAUUAAGUAUAACAAUAUUUCAACCAAGAUGAAAGAUUUUUUAAACUACCACACUUCUUAAAAAAUGAAUAAAAACAAACUAAUGAAAUAAACAAGAAAAAUGAUAACCAACGAACAAGAAAAGAAUCAAACAUAAACUGACUUCAGAUCCGAGAAUAUCAAACAAAAUACGGACAGAAAUGAAACUUAAACCAGCUAACCGGAUCGGAACAACGACGAAUUCGAACGGAAACAAAUCUGCCCGAAACUUUGAAACCAAAAAUAACUCGAAUAUUUCAACAACCACCUCAAAUAAACCUCGAAAGAACACAGGCGAGUUCUAACACGGACUGAACUCAUGAUAUUUCUAUAUGUCGUGCCAGACGGAGUUGGUUCACGGAGGGUAGCGGGGUCAUUUGGACGCUGGUCCACGGAGCUGGCAGCGUGGUCGUUUGGAUAGAGCUGACUGGUUCCGUGGUCGACGCAGAAGGUGAAGUUGUUUGGUUGAGGGAGCUUUUUCUGGUGUUAUGCUGGUAGAAAUGUCUUGUCGUUCAUGGUGGCUCGCAGCUGGACGAAUUGUGUGACGGAGGGCAGCAUCUGGCGUUGCUGGCGUGAAGCUGGUGAUCGACUGGCGGGGAAGAGAGCUAUGUGUGGUGAGGUCGUUAGCUGGAGGGUUGGGAUGAUGGUUUGGUGGAGGUUUACUUGUUGAAUGUGGUGCCUGCUGGGAGUUAGCAUGGGUGGUAGACGGGCAUGGCAGUAGGGUGGUGGUUUGGUUUUUAGGAUUCCACUAGGUUUUUGUUUGGGUGUUGAAGAAGAUUAAGAAGACCCUUCUUUGUCUUCAUUUUUUUGUGAGUAGUGGCUGAUGUGUGUUAAGUGUAGAGUAGGGUUUAUUGGCUUGGAAUAGGUCAAGGUUUUUGGGCUUAGGUAAGGGAUUUUUUUGUUUGGCCCUGGUUUGUUUAAUUUGGAAGAUAGCCCAAUCCAAAUUUCCUUCUAUCUUUUGUUCUCUUCUAUUUAAUCAACUUCCUAAUUAAUAAAAUUAAGAUACUAAGAUUAAAUUAUAAAAACUAAAAUUAUCUUGAAAUACUAAUUAACUCCUAAUAAUAAUUAUCAUUUAAAUUAAAUAACAAUUAAAACACAAUCACGCAAUUUAGACAUUAAAGGCUAAAAAUGUAAAAGAUGCCUACUUUUGUGAUUUUCAUUUUGUAAAACAAACUUGAUUACUCCUAUUUGUAGAAUUAAACCCUAAAUGCAAAUGCAACAUAUUUUUGUAUUUUUUUAUUAAUUUAACGAAUAGGCAUGCAAAGAUAAAUACAAAUAAUACAAGAAAAAUAACACAAAAUUCACAACAAUUGCAAACAAACUAAAUUGUUUUAUUUUGAAUUUUUCUGGGAAUAAUUCAUAUAUAGGGAAAAAAUCACAUGCUCACAGCUGCCCUUCUUUGCUCGUAAACAUGAAGAGUUUUCGUGCAAAGAUAAAGUGACCGGAUACGAGCAAUUUUUGCCCGUUCGAGUACUCCGUGUGAAGCAUUUAUUGAAAAAGAUUUAACCGAACCUUUGCUUCAAAGGUGUAUAGCAUAUCCCUGGCUAAAGGGAAUCAGGUUAAUAUAGUUCGGAAAAUUGUGGUAGCUGGGACUACCAUGGGCCUGCUAUUUGUUUUUAGUGCUGCUGCAUGUUGUUACUACUGUUUUACCGAUCUCCUUAUUACACCGUGCUAAAGAGAAAAACAAGAAGAUAGGCUAACCUACGGAUCACAAGAUCCUAUCUAUCUUCAAUUUAUUUUUGUUGGCCUUGCUUUCUUGACAGCUUGUGUUUCUUCCGGUGAUUCUUUCUUCCGAGAGCUUGGGGAUGACACUGACCUUUUGCCUGUCUGAACACUAUUUUUCAUUGAUCUUUGCUUGUUCUACUAGGGAUGUGGCUUCCCUCAUUACAAUUAUUGGCAAUUCCACUGGGGAGACGCCUUUCUUUCAUCGGCAUUUGUUAUGCUAUGGCUUUUGUUGUAACCUUCUGCCUUCCGGGGGUUAAGAAUUUCAAGUCAUAAUUGCAAAGCUAUAUGACUGGAGUUAUAAGCAAUGCGAUUAUAUGAGAUGUAGAGGCAAAGUGACACGUAGUCAUAUGAGAUGUAGAUGCAAGAUGACGCGUAGUCAUAUGAGAUGUAGAUGCAAGAUGACACGUAGUCGCAUGAUAUGUGGAUGCUAAGUGACGCGUAGUAAUAUGAGAUGUAGAUGCAAGAUGAAGCAUAGUCAUAAGAGAUGUAGAUGAAAAGUGGCACGUAGUCACAUGAGAUGUGGAUGCCAAGUGACGCGUAGUCACAUGAGAUGUAGAUGGAAAAUGACAUAUAGUCAUAUGAGAUGUAGAUGCAAAGUGACACGUAGUCACAUGAGAUGUAGAUGCAAAGUGACACGUAGUCACAUGAGAUGUGGAUGCUAAGUGACGCAUAGUCACAUGAGAUGUAGAUGCAAAAUGACACGUAAUCAUAUGAGAUGUAGAUGCAAAGUGACACGUAAUCACAUGAGAUGUAGGAUGCAAAGCUAUAUGACACGUAGUCAUAUGAGAUGAAGUCAUAACUUGAAUUCGGUUUCCCCCUCUUUCCGAGGAAAUGUUCGACAAAGGCAUAAGAUUUUGCUGCUGACAAACAGUCAUAUGAGAUGAAGUCAUAACUUGAAUUCAAUUUUCCUCCCUUUCCAAGGAAAUUUUCGACAAAGGCAAAAACUUUUCUGCCCCAGUUCUGGCGAUCUCCCUUGUGGUAUGCCCUUCUUCCAUUAUCAGCAUUUCUUUUUUUGCUUUAAGUCAAAGAAAACUUUAUUAGUUCAAAACAUGGUGAGUGGUUGUACCUCUCGUGCAUGGGAGUCUCUUAGAAUUUGGUCCACGUUUUCCCAAAUGUUACCUUUCCAACUUUUCCCAUACUUCUCCUGAUAUUCUGGACCCAUCCGAUGGAGUGAAUUAAACACUUUGGUAAAACAAGCCUAACCAACUCCACACCAAUUCAAACAAGAACAUUCUGUUCAAGAGAGUCUUGCAACAAUGCUCUUUCGUUUUGUUACCUUGUCUUCCGCUUGCCUUGUUCGUAUUUUGCCUUGUACCAUUUGGCAACUGGUAGCAAGCCUUGACAAACCUUUCUCAAAAAUAAACUGCUGGGGGGAAGGUAAGAGAAAUGAUAGAAAAUGGGGGGAAAUCUUUCUAAAUGAAUAUUGGGAAAAUAAAAGACUUAUCUGGGUGGUGUAUUGGACCCGAUGAUCAUGUCAUAUAUUCUGGAAAAAUCGACCCAGUCUAUUGGUAUUAAUCAAUUUCUGAUGGCUUCAUUUGCUGGGGAUAAACAGGUGCACAACUUUUUCCUAAAUGCAAUUCCUUUCCACCAAUAUUAUCUUGUCGCCUCAUAGUGCUUUUCGAGGGGUUUUUACUAACAAGACUCUCUCAUUUCUAUCUGCUCUCGUCGCUUUAUGGCGCCUGUGAAGGUUUUCACUACAGGACUCUCUCAUUUUGUUUUCUCUCAGCUUUCGUCGCCUUAUGGUGCCUGUAAAGGUUUUCACCAUAAAACUCUAUCAUUUUAUUUUCUCAGCAGGGAAUGGGAGCGUUACCAAUAAGAUUCUUUCUACUGGGGAAUUCUUUGGCUAUCAACUCUACCGGGGAUUCCUUUGGCUAGCAAUUCUGCUAGGGAUUCCUGCUAGCAAUUCUGUUAGGGGUUCCUGCUAGCAGUUCCCUCAACUCAUGAUCUUCCCUCGUUCGGGAAUCAGUUCAUUAUUCCUGGCUUCCAAUUGCCUGAUUGCUAGGGAUUCCUGCUAGCAGUUCCCUCAGCUCAUGAUCUUCCUUCGUCCAGGGAUCACUGUAUUAUUCCUGGCUUCCACUUGCCUGACUCGGCACCUUUGUGAUACUGAUCGAGGUCUUUUACGGAUAUAACAUGUGGGUUUUGUGGGCUUGAAAGAAAAAAGGUAUCAAAAAUUCGAAAUGACUUUGAUGGGUGAGAGACUACAAAUCUUGGAAUCAAAAAUUUUCUAACAACCUAAGUUCUGCCCCAGUUUUCUGCUUGGGGAUUUUGAUUUUUCGCGAUAUUUCUUCACGCUAUGACCGAGCCGUGAGGCACCUACGUAUCCUUUCAUGAGGAAUCAGGUCAAACGUAGUUCCUAAAGUUUUGUUUUCUUAUGAUUUUCUUAACAUUUUUCUCUUCUUUUUUUUCAUUUUUUUUUUGUUUUCUUUAACGAUCCAAGAGAGGGGUAUGAAAGACCAAAUACGGCUCAAAGGGGGAAAUAAAGAUUGACAGUGUUUCGGUAGAAGAAAGAGUUUCCUUUGUCAUUUCGUUAUCCGAUGAACACCAACUACAAACAAACAAAAAUAAUGAUAAAUACAAUCAAGGAAUUUACACAUAGUAUAUCUUGAUUGCAUCAAAAUUUAUUGCCAUAUAAAUGCAUCUUCCUUCGGCAUCCGUCAAACAUAAAGCACCAUUGGAUAACACCCUGGUCACAACAAAUGGUCCUUGCCAGUUUGGGGCGAACUUGCCCCUUUGCCUCGACCUGAUGCGGAAGAAUCCGUUUCAAUACGUGCCGCCCUAUUCAAAUUUCCUGAUGUGGGAGAAUCCAUUUCAAUAUGGAUGCUGAUUUUGGUUUCCUUCACAUUGUCGGCAUUCCCCUAAUUGCCAGCUUUAGUGUCAUUUAAGUUGAGCUUGGGUUUUUCUUCGUACUGGCUUAGUUCCCUAUUUACCUCUUUAAAGACUUCAUCCUCAUCAUAUUUCAAUUUGGGAGAAUCCGUUUCAAUACCUGCUGCUACUUCAAAUUUCCCGAUGUGGGAGAAUCCGUUUCAAUAUGGUUGUUGAUUUUGGUCUCCCUUACAUUGUCGGCAUCCCCCUAAUUGCCAGCUUCAGUGUCAUCAAAGUUGGGCUUGGGUUUUUCUUCGUACUGUCUUAGCUCCCUACUUACCUUCUUUAAGGACUUCAUCCUCGUCAUAUUCUGAUUCAUUAUCACAGUCGGUCUCCUAUAUAAUUAUCUCAGAAUUAGAUUGAUCAUUUAGACUAGGCCAAAGAUCCGUCGUGCAUGCCAUAUCAUCAUAACCAAUAAAAAGAGUAUUGUUCAGAAAUCAAAAGAAGAAAAAACAAAUUUAAACAAAACAAGAAUAGAAAACUUUUACUUCAAUAAAACAGGGGAUAACAGGGUUCACAAUUUAGCUAAAAAUAAAACAAAAUUUGUAUUACACCCUGGAAUAAUCAAGAAAACAAGAAGGAAAAUCAGAGCCCACUACCAAGACUCCCUCCAGCUUACCCUGACAUGGAGCGUCUUUCCAAUUAACAAGCACGACAUUUUUAGCUAUUGAGCUUUGCAUACCUAUUGCCAAGACGACUAUCUGCUUCAAGAUCUUCAGCUUUAGUCAGUAUAUUCACAUGCGCCAUGUCACCGGGCAUCAUCCCCACAAAGUUUGAAUCAUCAUUAUUAUGUAAAGGAUUCAGUGUGAUAUUCUGGAUGUCACUGUCUUGAAUCAAAUUUUCCUGGAUCUUGUACCUCCAUCUUACCACAGACCGAUCACUCCAGCUUUCUCAAAAUUCAAAAAAAAAACAUGUUAGAAUGGACUUAGUCUGUCCUCAUUAUUAACAACAUCUUUUGCCUUCUUCUUUCUUUUUUUCUUUUUUCUUUUUUUCGAUUUUUUUUCUUUUUUUUUUGUUUUGGUCGAAUCUUAUGGAGAUUGCCUACGUAUCAUGACCUGCAUGAAUCAGACCUUGCAUAGUUCGGACAUGAUUACAACGGUUUAAAAAUUGACCAUACUAACAGACUUUGACGAAAAGACAAUCUACAUACCUGAAAAUCAAAACAUGCCACACCCUAAGCAGAAGAAUUACAAACUCAAAAACAAACGGCAGGCUUCCUUUCCAUUUUUGCCAAUUUCAACCAAAUGGUUAUCUUUGCAAACGUGGCCUUUUUCCAAUUUCACAUGAAAUUUGAGGCCAUGGAGGAUUGUUUUAUUACACUACAAACUGGUCCAUUCUUUUACGAAAAUAGCCCUUCAACAACUGAAAAAUACUCUAAGGCUAUCUCGGCAAGAACGGUUUAAUACAUUGCCGAAGCUGGCUCGGCUUAUUUUUUACUAAAAUUUUGAACGACAAUCACUUACCCACUAACCUUUUUUUUUCAAAUUAAAAUAAAAGGCCAAGUUUCGCAAAGAUGACUUUUCUGCAAUUCGGGGACGAAGAUUUUAUGGCUGUGUGGGUCAGCUGGCCAAAAUCUAAAAAAAUAUGACCCAAAGAUAAGUUUAUGCAAAGUCAUCCUUCCGGCCCCAUUCGGGAACAUUCGGCUAUUUUUGAUAAAAACAGCAUCCCCCAACUUAUUUAUGACGAAAAUAAAAUCUUUGAUAUUUUCCGCUAUUUUUUGCAAAGGGGAGGUUGGACCCGAUUAGGGUUUCCUACGUAUCUCACUUCCGGUGAGAAUCAAACCAGCGUAGUUUGCCCAAUAAAUUACCUAAUUUUUGAAAACAACAUUUUUUUUCUUUUUCGUUUAUAGCAAGCAAACUAUUUUUCCUUUCAGUUUUGAAAACAAAGAAAAAAUAGAAGACUAUUUUCUAAACAAAGCAAACAAAGUAAAAUAUUUCUCUUUUUUUUCAUUUUCUCAAAAUUUCGGCAGAAUUCCAACAGUAGUUGGACAUAAAGACUUUUUUUUAAUUAAUCAUCUAUCUCUCCAACUGCUAUAUUUCUUUUUGUCAAUUUUUUAAUAUUCCCGAGAUUCAGAAUCUGGUCAACAUGCGGGUCCGAAUUAAAUAAAUGCGCAGAACAACAGUAGGAUGCAUCAAGAUGGUCUUUUCUAUUUCAGGUUGUUAUUCCUAGACGAACCCAACCCCUGUGUUGAGUCCCCUAAGUCAAAAUGCACAUGAUGCACAUAAGCGUUCCUACCAGGGAUCCAACAUGAGGUUAAGUUAUUCUUAAUUCAAUACCUGGGUGUUUGUUCUAGACCUGGCUUACCCGAGCGAACGAAUCGAGCCGAAGAGGGCCAGUGUAGCUGGUAACAUUGCUUUCCGGUUUAAGUGGAAGCGCUCCCCGCCUAAAACAUGUGUGACUAAAAUCCUUCACUAGGUGCCAAGCACCUCAGCAAUCUCAAAGAAAGUGGGCUAUGUCAAGCAAAUGCCCAAUUUUAAUUUUUAGAAGACUCAGAGGGGAUGCGUGAGAAGGCAAUUUAUAUACAGUGUUCAAAAAAUUAUCAAAGCGGUAAAAAGAAACAUUUAGCACAUUAUGAACAAACAUGUAACAAAAUCAAAUAAUAUUCAUGCUAAAUACACCAAUCAUUUCCAAGCUUGAAUUUCUAACCCUGAAUCAGUGGUUCUGGGUUAAGUUCCCUAGCAGAGUCGCUAGAGCUGUCACACCUCCUUCUUCCGGCGCCCGCGAGGGCACAAAGGAGUUUUUCCAAUUAAAGGACAAUCGAAAAGGAAUUUGUUUAUUAAGAUUCAGAGUCUCCACUUAGGAGAUUUAUGGUGUCCCAAGUCACCGGUUGAAUCCCAAAUCGAGGAAAAGAUUGACUCUGCUUAACAGUCCGCGAACCAGAAAUCCGGAUAAGGAAUUUUGUUAACCCGGGAAAAGGUGUUAGGCAUUCCCUAGUUCCGUUGUUCUAGCACGGUCGCUCAACUUUCAUAUUUAGCUUAUUUAUCAGAUUUUAUUACAUGUUGUAACUUUUGUGCCAAUUUUAACUUUUAACCGCUUUUAUUCAAAUUAUUAAAGAAGAUUGAACAUGAUCUGAAAUAUAUCUUUAGAUUGUGCCGCAUGAAUUGAACCUGCAAUCCUGAACAUACCUGAGUUGAUAUUUUGGGAUUUGGAUUUGGGUUGCAUGAAAUGCACAACCGAGUUUAGGGAGGUAAAGUUAUUAAAUACGCACAUAAAGAUACAAACGCGUUAUUAUUUUGAGAAAGCCAUUAAAUUCGCUAAACGGCAUGUCCCGCAGUCUAAAAUAUUUUUUAACCUUUAUUGAGGACCCCGCAUUUUACGUAUUUUUAUUUGGCGAGGCACAUCUUAUUUUUAUUUAAAGGAUAAUCCUUAAGUGGCUACAUUAUCUAUUUUUUUGUUUGUCUCUAAAAAAUAAAAUAAAAAAAUCCUAGUUAAUUACAUGCUUGAAAAGGCCAUCAAUUAUUGGCUACUCGCUUACGACAAAUGCUAACAAAAUAUUUACAAUCGAACUUGCGCAAAGAGAAAUUAUUUCAUGCCUUAUUAUAUAACCCUAUAUUACUAAGAUUUGAAAAUAGAUAGAUCAAGAGAUUAAAAAAUAAUAUUAAUCAAAAUAAACUAAUUGUCAAUUAAUUAAAUCAAACUCACAUGGUUAUAAGAAUUGAACCGUUGGAAAUACUUGUUUAUAACUAUUAGAAAUAAAAGCCAACCUUAAUUAUCAAAGCUUGAAAAAGUUUGUUAAAAAAAAAACUUUUUCGACACUUGGAAAAAUCUAUUAUAAUUAAAGGAUCUCUAGCCCGCCUUGUUCGAACUCAGCUUCCCUUUUUUUUUAUGAAUCCUAAUAUACUAGUUAUUAACUAGAACAAAUCAACUAAUGAUUAAUUAACUUGAAACGUGAUACAUUUGAAUAUGCUAUGACUGAAAUGAAUUGGAGAUGGCAUGAUGUGCAUACUACAGCGUUAGUUCUUUUCUAACUAACAUUCAUAGGAACGAGUUCGCAAUAAAACUAAAACUACUACGGAUCAAUACUUAUUUAUGAAUUACGACUAUUCAAAUGCUUUAAUGAAUUAAUAACUAACAUGUAUACAACUCAGGAUAUAAAUUACAACUAAAUGACUUCAAGCCUUAAGGCUGCCCUUUUUUAUUAAUGCUUCAAAUGUUCCAACUUACAUUGUGUACUAGUAUAGUAGUUGUGUACCUAGUAUUUUGACUCGAAGAAGAGAGGAAGAAUAAGUAAUACAGUAGUACAAACACAGCAAUAGCAGCAUAGCAGGUUCAGUGACAGCCUAGUAACAGAUUAAAAAUCUAGUAGCAAUUUUCGGAAAAAAAAACUCCAAACAGCAAUACCCAAAUGCACCCAAAAAACAGCACCAACCAGUGUAAUCAAACAUAUAACCGUUGCAGAUUUGAAACCAGAGGAAAAAUCACAAGCAAAGGGAUAUAAAAUGACAACUCUGGAAUCUAAUAAAAAUUACCAAAAACCAGAAUCUCAAAAAUCACAAGCUAAGGGAUAUACAAGAAGCUCUAACUCCGGAAAUGUCUAAACGAAGGAAAAUACUGAAAAGGCUAUACUUAUUACAGAAAGAUAGAACGGAGUAAAGAUCUUCAGUUAAGAAAAUUAAGAGUCAAUUAGGAAAUAAGAAUGAACCAUAAACCAAUUAAUUUCAAGUAAAACAUGUAGAGGUGAAACUAGUAAUAGGGAAUUCAAUCAUAUCAAGAACAACUUCAUACUCAGUGAAGGUAAGGACCUAAAACCUAAAAAGGGUAAUUUUUCCACAAAUAAGUCCAAGCAUGCACUCAUCACCUCUCGUACCCGGAUUUACAAUCACAGAGAAGACUCAAAUCAUAAGGGAAAGUCCCACGCGGAAGGUUAUGCAAGAUACUUACCUCCAACCGGCUCAAAAUUAACUAGAAACAACGUUUUUGCCACGGGUACUCGACUCCAAAUGGCCUCAAUCUAUUCUAUUCAAUUUCAUAAAGUAAAUAACACUUCACGUAACUGAUCCUAAAAUUAAAUUCUAAGCUUAUACAUGGAAUUGUGUAAAACAGCCAAAACGCCCCUCGAACCCAUGCUUCAGAUCGGAUAAAUUUAUAUUUUCAGAAUCCUCACACUCCCACGAGUCUAACCAUAUAAAAUUAUCCCAAUCCAAUGUCAAAUGCCUAAUAAAACCCCAAUCUCUAGGUCUAAAAGCUUUCCCCUCAAUUUCUACCAACAUUCCAAAAUUAAAGGAUGAAUUUAAGAGAAGAUUCAUGGAAAUCAGUCUAAACCAAGUAAGAAUCACUUACCCAAGUCUCCCAGGUGAAAAUACCAUCAAAAAUAGCCAAGAACCGAGCUCCAAAAGUCAAAAUAUGAUUAAAAAAAAAAGUAAAACCCUCGACUUUGGGUUAUAUUUUAUCUACCUGGGUAUUUGUGCAUCGCGAUUGCGGGAUAAGAGUCGCAAUCGCAUAGAAGAUAUUUGAUGGCUUCCCAGGUUUCUCAUCGCGAACGCGACGAUGAGCUCGCGAACAUGGAGAAGAAAAAUGCGAGGCUUCGGGAUCGCGAGUGAGAGACACGAACGGGAAGAAGAAGUAUGUAGGCUUCGUGAACGCGAAGGGAAAGAUGCGAACACAAAGAAGGAUUUCAAGUUGGUCAGCAACAAUGCAUCGUGAAUGCUAGAUGUUGUUUGCGAUGCAAUGAAGGAUAUCAGAAGCAGCAACAAACAGUUCCAAAAUGGGGGAAAAUGAUCCGUAGCCCAUCCGAAAUACACAUGAGGCUCCCGGAACCCCAUCUAAUUACAAAAAGAAGUCACAUAACCUAAAACGGGAUCGCUUAAGGUUUCAAAUCACACAAAACAACACCGAAACAAUGAAUCUACCCAUAAAUUGAACAUAUGGACUUUCAAAUCCUCAAAUUUCUAAACUUGGGCCAAAACCUACCAAAUCAAACUGGAAUGACGCCAAAUUUUGCAGUCAAGUCCAAAAUGACAUAAUGGAGCUGCUCCAACUCUCAAAAUAGCAUUCUGACCCCAAUAUCACAUAAGUCAACCAUAGGUCAAACUUUUUCAUUAUCCAAGAUUCAACUUUUCCAACUUUCGCCGAAAUUCCUCAAUUUACCCUUAGGACCUCCAAAUAUAAAUCCGGAUGUGAGCCUAAGUCCAUAAUCACCAUAGGAAGAUGUUAAGAUCAUCCACAAUCCAUUCCAGGGUCGUGAAUCCAAAAAUCCAAUUCCGGUCAAACUUUUACCGUUCAACUUCUUAAACUAGAUUCCUUCAUUCAAUUUGACUCUAAACCAUCCGUUGACUGAAUUCCACCAUGCACGCAAGUUGAUACUUAUAUUCUAAUAUUGUUCUAGACUUUACACCACUGAACGGAGCUUAAUUUCUCAAAAUGACCAGUUGGGUCGUUACACUUCAUGUCACAAAUAUCUAUGUAAAAGUAAGUCUAAAUGAUUUGAAUUCCUUUCAACUGACUUAUAAGGAUGUUUAACAUGCUUAGAUUCCACACAUACUUGAAAUUUGAUAUAUCACAUUCAAACUUAGUCAAUACUUCCAAAUUAAUCAUUUUCUGUAAGUUUUUAUAAUUGACAUGAUCCAAAUGUAUAUGUCAUAAUUCAUUUGACUCAAGUAAUUAAGACGGAGCUGAAAUUUUUUUUUUUUUUAACAACCAUUACAUUGACGUUCUUGAGCUGAUUUUUGGAGCAAAAGAUGGUGUAUUUUGGGAAAAAGAAACAAGUGUUUUUCUUUUUUCAUGGCUGUUUGGAGUAUUUUAAUGGAGGUUUCUCACUGGUUUUCAUAGUGAUGAAGCUAGGUCUUAUUGUGGUUUUUUGGAGUUAGUUUGAUGAGUGUUUGGAGGUGAGAGGAGCUGAUAUUUUUGGGGUUGAUUGUAGUAGCUCGUUGCUGCAUUUUUUUGGAGGUUUAUUAGAUUAGCUUUGAUGGAGUUUCAAGAGGUGCUUUUGGAGGAAACAAUGAGAUGGUAAUGGUGGAAAUUUGCCACUCUUUCAUGGAUGAAUAUUUGGGUGUAUUUUUUUUGUUCAAGAACAAAGAAAUGGUUGUUCUUGUUUUCUUUUUUUUUUUGGUCCGCUAGGCAAAUGCCUAGGGUUAGGUUUUAUUAAUAAAAAUAAAUAGAAAAUUACAGCAAAUAGGAGAAAUAAAAUAAGGCGGAUUACACCGGUAAUGUUACCCAUAUAACACAGCUGCCAUAUACCUUACCUUAGCUAUCCUAUUGAGGCAAAUAAAAGCCUCAUAGACUAGCAAGCAUGUAAAAAUAAAGAACUCGCAAGCACUAAGAAUUGAAUGAUUAUCACAGAGUUCAUAACAUACUCUGUGAUGAUAUUACAAAGGAUGAUACUAAUGUGAUAGUAAAAUAAAUAGAUGCAGAAACCAUAAAGGUGCCCUUUUUUCUCUUUUGCUGUGAAAACUUUGAUUUGUAGAAAGUUGUCUUCUUCCACAUAAUUUUUCAAAAAGUCUUCAAAAUUCAUGCUUUAUUCUUGAGACGAUUGGAUAUUGAAAGUAUUUUUUGAGCGACCUGUUUUUGUUUUGCGUUUCUCAUUGGGAGCCUCCUUAUGAUUACGUCAUCAAACGCCCUGACGUCCCGAAUUCUUUCCCUUUGACGAGAGUUCUUAUUUCUUUCACUAUGCAAUGGUGACAAAUCUCCUUUUAUUGAAGCGUCUGCUUGACAUUAGUUUAAAAUGUCCUCUUCUUCCCUUUCUUCAUAUAUGUGUCUUCCUGCAAAAAUUGGGUUUGGUAAUUCCAUCGCUUCCAAGAGUUAUCUUUCCUCGGACGAGAUAACUGAAGCAGUUGUGACGAGAUGCCCCGCUUGUGACUUUGCAUUCUUCUGUUGCUUCUGAUUCUGGCUAGUUGAUGGCAGCGUGGUUGCUAUUCCAUCCCCAACUGAUGUUUCGGCUAAGAUUAGUUGUCGAUUUUGUGCUGUUUCAUUCUUGUUGGGCUUUGAUGUCGCUACAGUUGAAAUAACUGCAUUUGCAUUAUUUCUUGGAACAAAAACUGGAGAAUUAUGGUUUAAGCUACUAUUUUGAGUUGGUGUUUGUGUCAAGACUGCACAGCAGUUCGUAGUUGCAUUUUUCCUUUGGAAUUUUUGCUUGACUGGAUCAUCACUGUUCUCUCCAGUACUAUCCUGAUCAUACUCUUGAUCAUCUUCUUCCGAUGAAAAACUAGCAAAUCCUUCACCCCAGCUCUCCUCAUCAUCAUAGUCUCGUUGGUCUUUCCACAGCUUCGAUUUAAUAACUAGGUCCCUUCUCUUUGGCCAUGUAGGAGUGUGUAUGGUUCGAGAACUUUGAAAUUUGGAUUGUAUUUGCAGAUUGUAUCAAUGACAUAAGCUGAUAUCUUUACCACUGUAUUAUGUGAGCUAUCACCAAGCUGCAAAUUUUUCUUUCAAGAGUUUUCCUUCAUCAUCAUUGACAUUGAGGAGUGCGGCAAAUGAGUUUGAGAUUGAAGGUAAAACUGAAUUGUUUGCUCCGAUGUGAUUUUUAUUUUUGGUUUUUGGAGUUACUGCUUUGUUGUCCAUCGAUGACCAUUGUCCAUCUUCCUUUGUGUGUUGACCAGAAUUUGCUUGAGUUAAGGCAGCAUUAGAGACAGCUUCAGUAGUUGUACCUGACUGAUUUGUUGUUCUGUGAAUACUUUCAUUCACUGCUUAAUGGUUGUCAAAUUGUGAUGCAGCUCGAUCCAUAGAACAAUGCAAAGAAAGUGAAGAUGGUUCAUUUUGUACUGUCCAGUUAGCAGUGUUGGUAUCCUUUGUACCAGAUGUUGCGACUUCCAAUUACAUAACUAUAUUACCAUCCCCUACUUGAGCAUAUUCUGUAUCUGUGGAAUUGGGAUGAUGCCCUUUGCAUAACUCAUUUGAAUUGGAGUGCUUAGAUGUACUCAGAACUGCUGUUUUAUUUAACUCAUUACAUCCUGCAUUGAAAUUCCAUAACUAUGUUGCCAUCCCCUACUUGAUCACAUUCUGUAACUGUGGAAUUGGGAUGCUGCCCUUUGCAUAAUUCAUUUGAAUUAGAGUGCUUAGAUGUACUCAGGACUGCUGUUUUAUUUAACUCAUUACAUCCUGCAUUGAUGUUUGAAGCCUUGAUCAUUUUGAGCAUUGUCGAGCUCUCUCCUAGAUGAACAACAGCAGAUUUGUACCAGCUUUGGCAGGACCCAGAACCUCCAAAUUUGUAUCAUUUCCUUGAUAAACCAGUGUAUGUUUCUCAUUGUUACUAUUGUGUACCAAGUGUUGCUGUUCACACAAUAAUUGUUCAGUCCUUUUUGCAUUGUGAUGUGCAGCCUCAAAAGAUGCAUCAGUCAAUUUUGGCAGCAGAUGUUCUGUGGGAACAUUCAAAUUGGAUGGAACAGUAGACUCAGCAUCCGGCAUUGAAUGAGCUUCUGCAUUUGGAAUGACUGGAUCAAAAUCAAUAUUUUGUCCUUCAUCAGUAAUCACAUUAGGAAACACCCCAGUCAAAUUUGACACCUCCUGUUCACUGUGAACCUUCAACUUGGCUGGGACAGUAGAAGGUUUUUUACACAAUUGUUUAGUAUCAGCAUUGGUCAUUGAAUUACAAUAUGCAGCUGGAGCAAUUGGAACAGCAUGUAAGUAAACAUCAGGCAUUUUUGUCACUGUUAAGUUCUACCCUAAUUCAACAGGGGAAGCAGCAUGAUUUGUUACAGCUUUGGCAGUAUCCAUAACCUCCAAAAUUUUACUAUUUCCUUGACGAAACAGUGUAGGCUUCUUAAUAUUACUAUUGUGUAACACAUGAUGCUGCUCACACAACAACUGUUCAAUCCUGUUUGCAUUAUGAUGUGCAGUCUCAUCAAAUGCACCAGUCAAUUUUGACACCAGCUGUACACUAGGGACAUUGAAUGGAACAGUAGGUGGAUUUUUACACAGCUGUGGUAUAUCAUCAUUCGGGAUUGAAUGAGUUUCUGCAUCUGUAAUUACUGGAACAGAGUCAAGAAAACCAGCCAGAUUUGAAACUACCAGUUCACUGUGAACAUUCAAAAUGGAUGGAACAGUAGCUAGUUUUUUACAAUGCUCUGCAGUAUCUGCAUUCGGCAUUGAAUUUAUUUCUGCACCUAGAACAAUUGGAACAUAAAAAUUAAAUUGUCGUGCAUCAACAUUCAUAUUAGGAGGAACCCCUUCAUUGCUUCGUGCUACAAGAUUGGCAUUUAGGAACUCUCUGGCAUCCCCUCUUAAUUUUAUCAUCUUGCCCCUGCCUUCAGAUUGUCGAUCAUGAGCUGCUUGUUCAUUCCUUUCAUCUGUACUCCAACGACACGAUUUUACUUCAUGACCUUGAUGAUUACAAUACAUACAGUAUUUAGGAAGGUUAUCAAAGAUGAUCCGCUGGUUGUAUUCGACUAUUUUUCCAGAUUUUAUAUCAACUUUCUUGAUCUUUACUUUCUUUGGAUGUUUGUCUAGCAGAUUAACCAAGACUUUUACUCGAGCCGUACUAGGUUUCGUUCGAUCUUUAGUAGCCUUAUCUACUACUAGAGGCUUUCCCACUGCAGCAGCGAUUGACAUUAAAAAAAAAUUUGUGAAGAAAUUUGCUGGCAGUUCAGGAAAGGAUAUCCAAACAACAGCUUUUGACGUUUCUUCACGUCGAUUAAAUCCCACUGUCCAUGGGAAUGUCCUGAAGAAGUAGUCAUCUCCUUUCGCCUUAACAUAGCAUGUUGUUCUUGAAAAGACAUUCGCAAAAUCUUCAAAUAGAUCAAAACUUACCAGAAUAUGUCGAUAUUCUAGCUGCCCUAUAUUGCAAUUACCUUUGACAUCGAGUUGCUUCGGUAAGAUCUGUCUCAACUCCUGAAGCUCGGGUUUUCCAUAAGAGAAUUUAAUCACAACUGCUUGUUGAAAACCUUCCUCCUUGGUGAAUGAAUUCGUCUACUGUGAAUUCAACAGUAGGUAUUCUAUUCUCAACCGUUACUGGACAGAGUUCAAAAUUCGAUUUUUUUGCGGCAGAAUGCUGUCGAACAAGUUGCGAUGCAUAAGUCUGUUUUGGAUUUAGAACUUUUUGAUUUUCCGUAUGGUUUUGAUUAUCCUCUCCCACAGCACAAAGCUGGGGAGAGGGAGAAACUUCCAUAGUUGCGAUGAUUGUCAACCAGAAUCCAUCACUAACAUUCUAUCGGAAAGAAUGAAAUUGCUACAGUAAUUCGGAAAAAAAGAUUUAGGAUGUAGGGAAAUUGGCUAUAUAUUUGAGGAGAAAAUCUAUUGGGGAUUGUUCGCAAAGAGAAGGGGAUGUCUUGAAACCAAAAUUGUGGCAAUCGACGAACUGAUUCUGGCGAUUUUCUUCAGAUGAAUAGUGACGGAAUACUAUUGACGAAACAAUAUCGCUGGGAGAGAAUCCUUCUGAAAAAGGUUACAAGCCAACAAAAAAUUGCUGCUCUUGUUUUCAGAAGAAGGAGUUGCGCCUUUUUUUCCUUUCUUCUUUUUUUCCCGUAGCCUAUUCAAAACUCGCUCGGGCAAUCAGGGCUCCAAACCAAAUAUACAAACAAUCUCAAAAACAUCCCAUGGACUUAUUCGAGCAAUCAAUUUGCCAAAAUAACAUCGUAAACGAAGAAUCAAACCCCAAAAUCAACACUUUUGAUCAAACUUCUUAAACUAAUAACUUCAGAUAUUUAUGUGCGAAACACGUCAAACGAUGCCCGAUUUUGACCAAAUUCCACAAAAAGCACUUAACGCAUAUUAAAGACCUGUACCAGGCAUCGGAACCAAAAUACGAGCCCGAUAAUUAUAUUUUCUUUAAUAUGAUGAUGACCCCUUUGGGUCGUCACAUCCUCCACCUCUAAAAAACCGUUUGUCCUCGAAUGGAUAAAAGAAAGAAGUACCUGAGUCGGGGAAUAGAUGGGGUUAACGGCUCUGCAUAUCAGACUCAGACUCCCAGGUCAAUGCCUUAGGAGGCUGACCUCUCUACUGAACACGCACUGAAGGAAAACUCUUCGACCUCAACUGUCAAACUUGCCGGUCUAAAAUAGCCACCGGCUCCUCCUCAUAUGAUAGAUCCUUUUCCAAUUGGACAUUGCUGAAAUCUAAUACGUGGGUUGUAUCGCUUUGAAUCCACUACAGCAUGGACACAUGAAAAACUGUAUGUACGGCGGACAAGCUAUGCAGCAAGGCAAGUCUAUAAGCCACCUCUCCCACGCGGUCAUGAAUCUAAAAUGGGCCAAUAAACCUAGGGCUAAUCUUGCCCUUUUUCCCGAAUCUCAUCACGCCCUUCAUAGGCGAUACACGGAGCAAUACUCGCUCACCAACCAUGAAAGCAACAUCUUUGACCUUUCGGUAUGCAUAAAUAUUCUUCCUGGACUAAGCUGACCGAAGUCUAUCAUGAAUGAUCUUGACCUUAUCCGAGGCCUCCUAACUAGAUCUGUAACCGAGCCUCUACCGGCUCAAACCAUCCGACUGGGGACCGUCACUGCCUAACAUACAAUGCCUCAUACGAAGCCAUCUGAAUGUUAGACCGGUAGUUGCUGUUGUAGGCAAAUUCUGCUAAGGGCAAGAACUGGUCCCACGAGCCUCCAAAAUUAAUAACGCAGACGCAGAGCAUAUCCUCAAGAAUGUGAAUAGUCCUUCAGACUGACCGUCCGUAUGGGGAUGAAAUAUUGUACUCAAUUGAACCUGGGUGCCCAACUCCUGCUGUACCGCUCUCCAGAAAUGCGAGGUAAACUGCGAACCUCGAUCCGAAAUGAUAGAUAUCGGAACCCCAUGAAGGUGAACGAUCUCCCUGAUAUAAAUCUCAGCAAAUCUCUUGGAGGAAUAGGUGGUGGAAACGGUAAUAAAAUGUGCUGAAUUGGUCGGCCUAUUAUCACCUCCUUUUUACCCGGCGCAAAGGCGUAGUGGAGUUUUUCCAAUUAAAGGACAAUCGAAACGGGAUUUAAUAACUAAGAUUGAGAGUCGCCACUUGGGAGAUUUAUGGUGUCCCAAGUCACUUGUUUUAAUCCUGAAUCGAGGAAAAGAAUGACUCUGUUUAACGGUCAACACACCAGAAAUCCGGAUAUGGAAUUCUGUUAACCCGGGAGAAGGUGUUAGGCAUUCACAAAUUCCGCGGUUCUAGUACGGUCGCUCAACUAUCAUAUUUAGCUUAUUUAUCUGGUUUUUAUACGAUUAUGAACUUAUAUGCAAGUGAUAGCACUUUUGCCGCUUUUAUUAUUAUUAUUUUUAACAAGAAUUAUAACAUCGUAAAAGUACAUCUCGAACCACGUCACAUCAAUGUACCCGAAGUUACCGACACAUUUCAAAUCUGUUGAGAUUUGGAUUUAGGUCACAUAAAUGUGCACCCGAGUUUAGGGAGAUAACAUUAUUAAAUACGCGCCUAAAGAUACUAAUGCAUUAUUAUGUUGAUAAGACCGUGAAAUUUUCUAAAUAGCAUGUCCCAAAAUCUAAGCAUUUUUAACCAUCUAUUGGGGGCCUCGCGAAUUGCGAUUUAUUUGGCGAGGCUCAUCUCGUUUAUUUAAAAAGGACAAUCAUAAAGUGACUACAUCUUCUAAUAAAUUCGUCUCUAAAAUAAAAGAGAAAAGUCCUAAUACAUUACAUGCUUGAAAAGGUCGUAUCUUAUUUAUCAGAUUAAGACAAGUGCAACUGGAAAAUUGCAAUCAAACUUGCGCAAAGGGAGAUUAUUUAGUACCUUAUUCUAUAAGCCAAUAUUACUAAAAUUGAAAUUAUGAUUAGAAUGUAAAAUUGACAAACAAUAUUAUCAAAAUAAACUAAUUAUUCUCUAGCAAAAUUACAUUAACAUUAUUGGAUGAAUUGAUAUAUUUGGAAUUAACCACAUGAUUUCAGAACCAUUUGGGCCGAAUUUUUAUAACUGUUGAACUUAAAACUAUUAUUUGAGAAUUACUAACCCUUUUCUAAUUAAACAUCAUUCAUGCAAAAGAAACAAUGAUCAUUCAAGUUUACGCCACAUACUUAGAUUGCGUGUUCAAUUCCUGUGACUUAUUAACACCAACUCCUAAGUUACCAACGCCUGUCAUAAGUAAUGAACUCAAGACAUACUAAUUUUGACAUUGAAGCUUAUUCUAAUGAUAUCAAAAAUGGCAAUUACUUAGGAUCUAUGAACUUACUGAUUUCAAUCUAAUAGCACGUGAAAACUAUUUCUUAUUUUUAACUUCAAACCAUGGAAUGCUAACAUACGAACAAAUAGUAACUACUGCUGAUAACUACAAUCUAACAGUCCAUCACAAAUAUGAUUUUAAUUAGUCCAAAUUAGCUUGAAUACAGUCCAUCUAUACAAAGCAUGUACUUAUUUCAGAGAACAAAACUAGAGACAUGCAUCCUCCACUGUCUACUCUACUCAACUAGCUUGGAUGCCUAAAUUUCAGCCUGUCAUUUAAUUGCAACUUCUCAAUUCAGAAUUUCAUCGGCUUGAGUUUCAAGUGUGUACCAGGAAAUGGAAUAAAAUGAAGAAGAAAGAGGAAUGAUCAGCAGUAGUAGUAACACAACAGUAAAAUAACAGCAAUAGCCCAGCUAUUCUUCAACCCCAAGAAUGAUUCAAAUGACCCAAGAAAACAACGUAAAUCCCAACAGAUUGACUCACAGAAUACCAGAAAUCCAACCAGCAACUACUUAAACCAGAACAACAAGUUCAACUCUAAAAUAAUCAGUGAACCAAGGUUGUGUCCCCUUUAAUUGUGCCAAUUAAAACGCACUUAUUCCUAAGCGAUUUUAUCAAAACAGGCUUAAAGCCUUGAGUCAUUGGUAUUUACUUCUACCAAACUCUAAACCACUUUCCCAAGCAAAGCAAGAAUUUAACGGCUUUUGUUAAUGCUUGCAACCACCAACAAUGAAUGAAGAACAAGAAGUAAAUAAACAUCAACCAUCCAUUAUAUAUAUAUAUUCAAUUUCAAACACCCAUUUAGGGUCCACAACCUUAGUAUUUAAAACUAGCUACUCAUGCUAACACAAAAACCAACUAAUAAUAAGUGUCAUAAAUGCUUACAAAGAGAAAAAGGGAGAAAAUUAAAGUCUUGGAGUGUAUCUAAAAGGUAAGACAAUAUGUUCCCACAAAAGUCUCUUAAAACUAUUUAUAGGUUGACCAAAUUCGGGACAAAAAAUGGACAAAUUUUCCCUUCCAGGUUGCGUCUGCGACCGCAGACUUGUCGAAGAACAGGUCUGCGGUCCGUGUCUUGAAAAGCCGCUUCACAGAUCCAAAAACCUAUGUGUCAAGCCUUCAUCGCAGGUUCAAUUUGCGUUGCGCAUUUGAGUUAUGCGACAGCAUAUUUGCAUCGCAUCUUUGUCCUUGAGUUUCUUCUUGUUCAUUUUGCGGCUCAUCUGCGGUCUGCAUGUAGAUUCUGCGAUCGAAGAACACGCCGCAUUCUUGACGUGAUUUUUGGCUCCAUACCAUGUAAAGCUCUGCGAUGUGAGGGACGAGUCUGCGGUCCGCAUGUGUGUUCUGCGACCACGUACUAGACCGCAUUUUGGCAAUUUGUGCAAAGUCAUGCUCUUUUCCUCUCUUUUUGCGUCCAUUUUCAUAUCCUUGGUGUUCCCUUCCGCUUGUGCUGUAAGAACAACAAAUCUACAUGAGUAUUAGUUAUAAUUGCAUUAAAACAAGAUAGAAUCUAAGCAAUUAGUAUUGAAAUGCGCCGAAAUUCUUCGGCACAUCACCUAGUGGCCCCAAACCAUUAUGUCUUGCUCCCCACUUACUUAUUAGUUUGAUAGCAUUUAAUUCCCUACUUUCAGGUUGCUAAUAUUAACCUAAUUCCCUAAUAUUUUCAUUCCCAAAUUGCCCCUGAAACCCCCUCACUAUUAAUUCCCCAAACCAAUAUGUUCAAACCUAAAGAGAAUUACCUAAAACUAAUUCUAAUUAACAGCUAUAACCAAUCUUCCUGACCAAAUUCAACCAUUGAUUCAUUAAGCAAAAGAUCAAGAUCAAAAUGGCAUCAAAACAAUGAGUUGAUCAUAUUGAGAAAAGAACAAACAGAGAGACAAUAAGCUAAACUGAAAUAGUAUAAAUGGAGGAAUGAGCUUAUCACGUGAAAAACUAAAGAACAGGGAUGGCAUAGCAAUAGGGAACGGGCAAACACAACUCUAACUCAAAUAUACAUACAAGAUGCAGCAUUGUUGAAAGUAUAUUUGACACGGAAUUCCCUUAAGCGAGGAACACAAACAGAAACACAGCUUAACAAGGACAGUUCGUAGAGAUCAAAAAAACUACAAAAGAUGACCUAAUUGAUGAAAUUUAAUUGAUCAACUACAUAGUUUAUAACAUAUAAUCACCAGUUAGAAAAUUUGGACCAAAGAAAAAGGUCCGUAAAAGGGGGAGGAGAAAAUAGCUGACAAAAAUAAUGAAAUUAAUACAACAGUACAAACAAAUAACAAUAUACCCAAAAAUAGAACAGACAAAAGAAAGGAAAAAUACCUCAUGAACUCAUAAACCAUACGGACUCGACUUGAAACUCUCACUUGAGACUUUUUGGGGUAAAAAUUGACUUUUAAUCGAGUGUUCUCGUCGACUAAAGUCGAUUGAGGCUCUCGUUUCUUUUAUUUUGGACAAAUUCCAGCCUGGGUCUUGUCUAGGGUUUAUACAGUUCGAUUUGGGAUUCGAAAGAUUCCGACAUGAUUCGAAGGGAACCAGUGGUGGUUCAGAGGUGAGGGACGCCUAGUGGAUAUCUGGUGUGAGUUUGGGGUGGAUUGGGUUUGGUUCAUGGUUUUCCGAAUCUUCGAUUACAGAUUCGAGAAGCUGGGGGGAAGAUUCGAAGUAACGGUUAAUGGAUUCGUGUUCAGGGUGGUUAGAAGUACCUAGGGUGUUGGUUUGGUUACUGGCAGCGUCGAUUCCGCCGGGUUUCAGGCGGAUGAAUAGGGUGGCGGCUAGGGUUUAGCCCUUGAUUGUCUCUGAGAGAGAGAUGAUGAAUAGUGGAGUGGGGGGAGUGUGUUUUAUUUAGGGGGCUGGGGUGAGAUAUGGGGAUUAUAUAUUGAGGGAGGUGGCUUGAUCUUGGUAGUUGGAUCAAGCAUGAUCAACGGCCUGGAUCAUUUACUUAAGGGGAAACGGUGUCGUUUUGGUUAAGUGGGGAAUUGGGUCAGUCCGGGAAAAAUAGGUCGGGGUUGGAGAGAUGAUCUCGACUGUUGGAUCAUGAUCAAUGGAUGGUUGAGAUCUCUUGGCCAUGGAACGACGUUGUUUUGGACGUCUGAGAGGUCUGGUCAAUUGGACCGGGUGGAAGCGUUUUGGGCCUGAUUCAAAGGCUGUUUGGGACACCUCAGUUUCAAGUUUUCUCAUUAUUUUCAUUUCCUUAAUUUCUAAUUAAUAAAACCAAAAUUCUAACUUAAAAAAUUAUAAAAUAAAAUUAGCUAAAAUACUAAUUAACCUCUAAUAACAAUUAUCACACAUAAUUAAUACCAAUUUAAAGUAAAAUAACACAAUUUGACUUUAAAUGCUAAAAAUGCAGAUUACAUUAUUUUUGUGAUUUUCUCAUUUUUGUAAGGAACACUUAAUUACUCCUAUUUGUAAAAUUAAAUCUUAAAUGUAAAUGCGACAUAUUUUUUGUAUUUUCACUUAUUUAAAUAAGUAAACAUGCACACACAGAUGCAAACAAUAAGAGAAAACUAACCCGAAAUUCAGGAAAAAUGCAAACAACACAAAGCUAUUUUAUUUUGAAUUUUUUGGAGUAAACCUCAUAUAGGGAAAAAAUCAUGUGCGCACAACUGUCCCUAUUUGUCCGGAAACACGAAGAGUUUUGGUACAAAGAUAAAGUGAGCAGAUAAAAGCGAUUUUUUCCUGUUGGAAUACUCUGUGUGAAGCAUUUUUUAAAAAACUGAACCUUUGCUUCAAAGGUUUCCUACAUAUCCCUGGCUAAUAGGGAAUCAAGUUUGUGUAGUUUGGGAAGUUUGGGGUUGCUGGGACUACCAUGAAGCUGUGGUUUCACAGUUACUGUUGUUGCUGCUGCUACUGCUGCUUAUUGGCCUCCUUAUUACAUCUUGCUAAAAGAAAAUAAAAGUUAGACUAAACUAUAGAUUACAAAAUCUUAUCUAUCUUCAACACUUGCUCUUGUAGUCUUCUCUUGAUUUGCCAAACUAGAACUACUGAUUUUCUUCUUGUGAGCUUCGAAUUAUUUUCCCUUCGAAGCUUGAACUGCCUUCUUUUGACUUCAGAACUUGAAUUUAGGAAGGGGAUUUUUGUUGCAAUCCUCUGCUCUAUGACUUUGAACUUCAAUGUAUUCCUCUAUUAUAUGGGCGGGCUUCCAACUUCAAAACUUGAAAUAUAAUUCCUCCAUUCUACGGGCGGGCUCCUGACUUCAACAACUUAAAAAGGUAAUGCCUUUGUUAUACAGGCGGGCUCCCGACUUCAAACUGGAAAUAUAAAGAAUGAAAUGAUUACCAUCUUAGGUGAAAAUUCAUCAGUCUAAGAAUUCCAUCUUAGGUGAAAGUUCCAACAUACUAAGAUUUUAUAUGUACCUUAGGUGAAAAAUUCAUCAGACUAAGAUUUUCAUAUUAGGUGAAAGUUUCAACGGACUAAGAUUCUGACUUUAGGAGAUAACAUCAGACUAGGUCCAUUUUUGUGUGAUCUCAGGAUAAAGAUUCAUCGGACUAAGAUUUUGACUCUAGAAGAUAAAUCCUCAGACUAGUUUCAUUUAUGUGAUCAUAGGAAAAGAUUCAUCGGAUUAAGAUUUUGACUCUAGGAGAUAAUUCAUCCGACUAGGUCCAUUUAUGUGAUCUUAGGAGAAAGAUUCAUCGAACUGAGAUUUUCACUCUAGGAGAUAAUUCCUCAGACUAGGUCCAUUUAUGUGAUCUUAAGAAAAAUAUUCAUCAGACUAAGAUUUUGACUCUAGGAGAUAAUUCAUCCGACUAGGUCCAUUUAUGUGAUCUUAGGAGAAAGAUUCAUCGAACUGAGAUUUUCACUCUAGGAGAUAAUUCCUCAGACUAGGUCCAUUUAUGUGAUCUUAAGAAAAAUAUUCAUCAGACUAAGAUUUUGACUCUAGGAGAUAAUUCAUCCGACUAGGUCCAUUUAUGUGAUCUUAGGAGAAAGGUUCAUCGGACUAAGAUUUUAUCUUUGUCUUAGGUGAAAAAUUCAUCAGACUAAGAUUUUCAUCUAGGUGAAAGUUCCAACAUACUAAGAUUUUUAACCUAGGAGAUAAAUCAUCAAACUAGGUCCAAUUUUUCGAAUCCAGAUUUUCUUAAUAUCUCAAAUUCAGACUUCCUUUCUUUUUUUCAAAUUCUGUCUUCCCUUCUUAUUUUCAAAUUCUGCCUUCCCCCUUUUUUAAAAAAUAAAACUAGGCCUUCUUUUCUUUCCAAAUUCUACAUUCCCUUCUUUUCAAAUUAUCCUAGGAGCAAAUUCGUCAAACUAGGAUUUUUAUCCUUAUCUUAGGUUAACAAUUCAUCAGACUACGAUUUUCAUCUUAGGUAAAAGUUUCAACACACUAAGAUUUUUAUCUUUAUCUUAGGUAAGAUAUUAAUCAAACUAAGAUUUUUUAUCUUAGGUGAAAGUUUCAACAGACUUGUCGACGCCCCCCUUUUUCUCUCCCGAAGGAAAGGAAUCGGGUUCGACAUUAUAGGCGGUGACUCUUUUAUCCCCUUUUGGGGAGAAUUUAGGAUAUGGAGUUUGAAGAGUCACCACCUAAUUAUUGUAGUGCAUUAGGACAUUUUUUGAGAAAAGAAGAAUGAUUCGAAGGAAAACCAGGUAAGGGCUUGAAAUUAUCUUGAGGGGAAGGUGUUAGACACCCCUCAAGAUCCAUUAGUGUGGUUCCCGACCUUGCUUAGAUGUGACUUUAAGAAGAGUAGAAAUAGACAAGCAAAGUUUUCAUAUAAGAAAUACAAGCAAGUUGACAAUUUUGGAAGAAAGAUGGCACAAGCAAAAGAGAAUUUUAAUGAAAACAUUUAAAUUAAGAAAAAUUAAAGAGGGUCCUAGGUUUAUCUAUAAUAUGGAUCAUUCGAUUCAAUAUCCCGCACAUGUUCCCGAAGAGGGUUCGCCUUAUCAUAUCAACGCAUCAUCAUCAUCUCCGUAUUCUACCUUUCCCACCCUGUUAAGGUAUUUAAGCGCGUUUUAGUCUCGUUUACUUUUUGCAUGCUAAUACUCGUCCCGACCUAUUAGUCCCGGGGUAUUUGGACUUCUAAUCCUAAAAGGGGAGAAAGGGAUGAGGGAAUAUGUGGAGUUUAAAGGUAAAAUUCUAAGGCGUUAACCAAUAAACAAAUAGCACAUAAGGGACGUAAAACAAACAUACAAAGGUUGCAUAUAAGCCCCUUAAGCCAUACAGCAAUUAGUUUAGCAUGACUUGCAAUUACUGAUUUGGUCUUAUGCUUAGAAAUGAUAGUGGACAGAUUAGUUUAACACAUAAAGUUGGAUAAUAAGUCUACUUUGAGCCCCUCGGGUCCAGUUUGUUGGAACUUAAAGUGUUUUAAAACCAGUGAUUUCAGAAAAUGCUAAUAAUAGACAAGGAUCUGUAAAGAAGAGUUUUGGAAAUAGGAAAUUGAACCUUGCAGAAGUUCAUAAAUGGCUUGCGAAAUAGCCGAUCUACUUAAAUAAAAUCGUACAAGAAAAAGUUUUCGAAAAGCAUUGAAAUGCAAGUUUAGGCAGAAAACCAAAAUGUUGAUUUCAGAAAGAGGAAAGUUGGAAUUUGAAAAGAGUCUAUCGGUUUAAAAUAGUGCAAAAGGCUUGACUUGGCCAGAUUUCAAAAAAUAGACAGCUUUGGACAAAUUUUAUUGAAUGUUUUUAACAAAUUAGGCGAGUUUGAACCCUAUAGGCAUGAUAUCUAACUCAUUAUUUGCUGUUACUUUUAGAACGUUUAAGGGGACCUACUGUUUGCCUAACGUUUUUAUGCAGUUCUUAUAGACAUGAUUUCUAUUAUGCUUGCGAUAAAAAUCCCAUAGGCAUGAUUUCUAGAUGGGAAGCAACAUUGAAAUUCUAUGGACAUGAUUUCUAUAUGAUUAGCAAUAUUGAAAUCCAAUAGGUAUGGUUUCUAUAUGACUAACAGUAUUGAAAUCAUACAUGCAUGAUUUCAAUUAUGUUUGCAAAAAAUCCUAUAGGCAUGAUUUCUACCCAUUGAUUCAUGUAACAAUAUAAACCCAUCCCACACCCUUUUACUACAUCACCAAAUUCUUUUACAAAGUUUGUUACAAAAGUGGAAGGAAAAUACUAAGAGAAUAAAUACAUCAAGGCUACAAUGGACCCGAGGAAGCCCAAAGCAACCUUAAUUUCCAACACAUGUAUUUUACCAAAUCCGGGCUCCAGAUUCCAAGGCUUUCUCUUAGAGUGUUUCAAAGUUCCAAUGACUUUCAGGAAGCCCAGGCAAUGCAUACACGCUAAAGAAUGAUUAUAGUGCAGUGUGUGGAAUUACCAGUCCUUAGGCAUCCAAGUUUAGAGGGAACUCUAGGGUCCCUAAGCAUGGCUUACCAUAGGGGGCAGAACUUAAAUAACUAAGAAUAAGUUAAAAGUGAGGGGACUAGAGGAAACCAAAUCAAAGGGUGGUCAUACCCAGCCAUGGUUAAGACUAGCACACCAUGGCUUACCAGAGGGGGGUAGGACUUAAAGAACAAAGAGUAAGUGUAAAAGUGAGGGAAUUAGGAGAGCCCAAAGCUAAAGGUGGUCAUACCUAGCCAUGAAUGGGACUGGAACACCCCUAACCAUUUACAUGGCUUGAGCAAACAAGAGCAGACUUGAGAAAGUCCGACUUAGACCUGUAUGGUGUUUAGGACACCACUAGACCUGAGUCAAGUUCAACACAUAAUAGGGGUAAGGGAAUUGGACUGAUUUGAGUAUAGGUUUAGAGCAACCUGGUUCUAAACUAGGGGUGGCAAUGGAGUGCCACACUAGUCUAAAACAAUACUCACACACAAAGGGGUUAGGGAAAGGGGAUUACACGAAAGCAUUUGAAACAAACAGAAUUAAGCAAAAGGGACUUGGUGGAAGGGAUGUACAUGCUGAAGUUUAAUUGCAUAAUAUAAGAAAGUCAAGUACAGACAUGCAUGUGNNNNNNNNNNNNNNNNNNNNNNNNNNNNNNNNNNNNNNNNNNNNNNNNNNNNNNNNNNNNNNNNNNNNNNNNNNNNNNNNNNNNNNNNNNNNNNNNNNNNNNNNNNNNNNNNNNNNNNNNNNNNNNNNNNNNNNNNNNNNNNNNNNNNNNNNNNNNNNNNNNNNNNNNNNNNNNNNNNNNNNNNNNNNNNNUGAAAGAGAUAGGUAAACACAUAGUUUUGGAGAUGGUAUUUAAAUCAUGGACCUACCAGUUGAAAUUGUCAAACAGUAGAACAAGAAAAUAGAAUCUCUAUAGUUUAGCCUUGGCUUUCAUCUGGCUAAACACAAGCAGCGACACAAGUAGCGGAAAAGAGAUGAGAGGGUUUAGUGUGUGUGUGUUGAACUAAUUGUUCGUGUUUUUGAAGUAAAAGGGGUGGGGGGUUUUAUAGUUUGAUAAGUCAAGAAAAUAACUUCAGUACCAAAUCAUAAUCAAUCAGGAGAAAAGACUCCCUUUAAUUAAGGACUCGGACUUGAGGAAAACAAACAUUGCUCCAUUAAUGGAAAGAAAAUCAAGAACAAGUUGCAAAAUAAAGGGUAAAUACAUAUAGAGUUUUAAAAAGAUAAACGAUUUUAAGAAAGUAAGGCAAGAAUAGAAUCACCAAUCACAUAGUAAAUUAAGGAAACAGGUAUUCGAAUUUGUAUUGAAUUUAGUCAGAAAGUAGGUCCAAAUCAAAGAAUCAAAUAAAUUCGUAAAAAAUCAAUCUCCCAAAAUUAUGGUUAUUUUGAAAGGGAAAGUAUGACUAUAAAAGAGAUGCACAAAUUUAAACAUGAGAGGCGGGCAUUAGCAACAAUGGUCAUGUAAUCAGCAAGCAGAAAAACACAUGCAUGAAAGGAAAAUAAAAAUUCUUGCAAUGCUUAGCAAGAACCACAAGUAUGAGGCGAGUUAAAACAGUUAGGGUUUUGAAAUUAAACAGGCAGCACACCAUUACAUACAAUGCUCGGAAAAUCACCCAAAAUUUAGGGUUUUCAUCACAUCUCGAGUGUAAAGAAAAAAUCAUUCAGAGAGAACAUAAACAUUUAUGAAAAGCACAAUGAGAGCAAAGAACACAGUAAAGAAACUACUCGGAAACCCUAGAAACACAUGGUGAAGAAAAUACAUGGAAAUCAUAGUAGAAAUACUUCGGAAUUACAACAAAAAUAAAAGAAAGCACAAUAGAGCAAAUAAAACAAAGAAUAAUAGAAACCCUAAAUUUUAAGAAAAUGAACAGUUUGAAAACAAAAAUUGGUAAAAAAUGUGGAAAACACUUUGAAACAUUAAAAUAACGUAUAUCUGAAGUACAUCCUAAAGAGAAACAAAGAAGAAAACCUUGGAGAUUUAGGGUUUCAAAGAAAACUCUAGAGAAUGAGAAAGCCUAAAACUGACUGAUUUUGAGUUGAAAAUGGACUCACAAUGCUAAGACUCGCCGGAGAGAGACCAUACAUGGCUGUAAAACUCAAGUCGGAGGACCUCUGAGCCGGUGGUCUUCAAGAUAGGGCUUCAAUUUUUGAACAAAGGGGGUCAUAGAAGGGACCGGGGGUGAGUAUUGGUUGCAUGAAGCCUGGGAGGCCAUGGUUUCCGGUGAAACAACGUCGGAAAGUGGUCGGAGAAGGGCUAGGGUUUUAGGGGGUUGAGAGAAUUUGGGGAUGAAUGGGUUUCAGGGCGGCUCGUUUGUGAGAAGUGAUUCAUGUUAGGGGUGUCUUUGGUUUAAUUAAGGGAAGGUGAGACGUGGACCGUUGAUUAAAACAAUCAACGGUCCUGAUUUAAAAAAGGGUUCUAGGCGGGUUUAUUUAAUAGCUUUAGGUCGGGUUAUUUAUGAAAUUAGGUAGUAUAAUUUGGGGGUUGAUGAAUUUACUCUGAUGAAUUAUUCACCUAAGAUUUUUAUCUUUAUCUUAGGUGAAAAAUUGAUCAAAUUAAGAUUUUCAUCUUCGGUGAAAGUUUCAACAUACUAAGAUUUUUAUCUUUAUCUUAGGUGAAAAAUUCAUCAGACUAAGAUUUUUUAUCUUAGGUGCAAGUUCAACAGACUAAGAUUUUCAUCUUAGGUGAAAGUUUCAAUAGACUAAGAGUUUUAUCUUUAUCUUAGGUGAAAAAUUCAUCAAACUAAGAUUUUUUAUCUUAGGUAAAAGUUUCAAUAGACUAAGAUUUUUAUCUUAAUCUUAGGUGAAAAUUUUAUCAGACUAAAAUUUUCAUUUUAGGUGAAAGUUUCAAAAAACUAAGAUUUUUAUCUGGGAGGAAAAUUCAGGGCAUGGUUUAAUGCACGAUAGCAAGAUAAAUGAAGGCAAAGAUUUGAGAACCUACCUUUUGCGGCUCUCCUUUCUUUUGCAUUUUCUCUUUCACCCACUUUUAUCUUUUUUUUCUUUCUUUAUCUUUUAACUUGUGUUAUCUUCCUUCUUCAAAGGAUACUUCCCUUAAAGCUCAUGUCGUCUUCCCUCGAAACUGCUGGGGAAUUAUUUAUUUACCUACUGAGAAUUAUACUGCUGGGGGGAAUAUCCUUUCUUCCACUUAUUUUUUUUCUUUUUUUUUUCAAAACUGUUUCCUUCAAAACUUUUAUUUUCUCUCCACAUUCCUGGAUAACGUUGUUGAGGAUAACACUGAUGGGGAUAUUCAUUUCUUCAAAACUGAUGUUUCACUCUUCCGAACACUGCUGGGGAUGACACUGGCCUUUUGCUUUUUCUGAACACAAGUUUCCUCCCUUUGUUUUGUCCGCUGGGAAUAUAACUUCCCUCAUUAAAACUUGUUAUCCUGGGGAUAACAUUGGUUCAAAGACCACUACCCCAGUUUGAUAAUAUUCCUUAUGGCCUUCCUUUCCGCCAUCAAUUCCAUUUUCUUUUACCUGCUUUAAAUCAAUGAAAAUUUAUUAGUUUUAAACUGGUAGGAGGUUGUGCUACUCCUGCUGGGGAUGAUUUUUCCCUUUCUUCUUCCCUGCUCUGCGUUCCAUUACACUAUCAAAACUUGCUGGGGAAGAUAUUAUUUGCUCGUCUUAGAACGACUUGCCCUGUUUUGCAUCGUCCAGCCAUCUUGAAACUUGGUUGACAACUUCCGGCCUUCUCGACGACUCCGUAUUCACAAUCCUUUCACCGUUGUUUCCCACUUGUAUCCUGACCACUCACAUUCAUAUGACAGUGACUCUGCUUGAGGACUCUUGCAUGUUUACUGAUGAACCACUUUAUUCAUUCAUCAGUGUCACUGAAAUACUUUUUCUACUAGGGACAUCCCUCUUCUUUGUGGCAUAGCUAGGGAAUUGGCAUUUCCUCUAACCUUUGAGUCUCUUAUGAAUCUCUUAUUUAUGCCCAUCGCUCUCAGCCUCGUUCCUCCUUGAUUUGUCCACUGGCCUUGGUGUUGAGGUCUAUAACCUUUGAUUUUUGUGGGGAUAUCCUUCUUGACACUGACCCAUCCCUUUGUCAAUCUCCUCUUCCAACACCUUUCUAUAUCAUGCCCCGGGGAAUACGAGCAAUAUGCGCACCUUUGAGAUAAAUCACCCUUCUUGACGAACGGUUUGGCAUUUUUAUCAGGAUCGGCUUCAACCUGCCCAACUACUUCAACUUUUGGAACAAACUGGCAUAUGACCCUCCAAUAGGGGUGAGAGCCUUUUCUCGUUUCAACAACCUCUCAUUCCUAAAUAUCAUAUUUGGCCUAAAACCUGACCCAUCGGGUUUCUGGUAUUCUCGUGUGGGUGGAUAUGAAUUUUGUGGAGCUGGGUACUUAGAAAGUGAAGUAUGACUUUGGGAGUCCCGUGGAGAGAAGUAAUGGCAUGGAGAAUUACAAGGAUAUCAACGGGGUCGAUAUAGAAACUGAGUUCCUUUAUCAAGGACGACCACUGGACCUUGUCGUUGGGGAGGUUCAACACCAUCUUUCCUUUUCAUGGGAAGACUAUCCCGAACAACUUGCUCAUUCCAUCUGAGACAGAAUUUCCCAACAUCUUCUUUAGGCUUCUCCUCUAUAUCUCAUAUAGAGGAGUGGUCCGGGACGAUGUCUGACGGAAGAUUGACGGAAAUACUAGGGUGAUCGGAUGCCAAAGUUCGAGUAAGGACAUCAUCGGAGAAAUCAGGUGGUAGCGGUAUGGGUGCCUUCCCAACCAUCCAUGCCUGAUACAUGUCUGCCACAUGCUGUCUCAACAUUUUUACCUCUCCUAGCAACCCGUUGUCUUGUUCAACCAGCUGUAUUCGGGCAUAGGUACCAACCCACUCAGUUCUGUUGUUUUCUGCCAUUGUCUUUUGCCUUUGUGCUAGAGGGAAGCGUUAGUUCGGUAUCACAAACCAACCACCUCAACUUUCUUCGCAAUUCAAAACAAACAUGUUAGAAUGGACUUAGUCGGUCCUCAUUAUUAACAACAUUUCCAUUUUUUUUCCUUUUCCAUUUUUCAUUUCUUUUUGCUUUUUUGGUAGUGGUUGAAUCUUAUGAAGAUUACCUACGUAUCAUGACCCCGCAUGAACCAGACCUUGGUUAGUUCGGACAAAUAGACAACAUCAAAUAUUUUUUGGGAUUUCCCAUUUUUUUAAUGAAACAAACUUGAUAACAAAGGUUUAAAAACUGAUCAUACUGGCAGACUCUGAUGAAAAGACGACCUAUAGACUUGAACAUCAAACAAACCACAUAGUCUAGUAAAAAGAAAUUCAAACUAAAAAAUAGACUGGAAGCUUCCUUUCCCUAUAUGCCAAAUUUAACCAAAUGGCUUUUUUUACAAAUGUAGCCCCUUCUCAGUUUCACAUGAAUUUUGAGGCCGAGAAGGAUUAUUUUAUGAAAUUUCAUAGCCUUUCGACAACUGUCUAAGGCUAUCUUGGCAAGAACGGUUUAAGACAUUGCCGAAGCUGGCUCAACUUAGUUUGACCAAAAAUCUAAAUGGUAUUCAUUUACCCACUGACUCUUUUUCUCGUAUUUUAAAUUAAAAUAAAAGCCUGGUAAUGCAAACAUGGACUUUUAGCGCAUCGGGGACAUACAUUUUAAGGUUGUGUGGGUCAAUCGACCAAUAAUCUAAAAACAUGAUCAAAGGUGGCCAUUUAUACAAAGUCGACCUUCCGGCGUCCCUUUCGGGAACAUUCGGUUAUAUUUAACAAAAGCGGCAUCACCCGACUUAUUUGUGACAAAAAUUAAAAUUUUGACUUUUUUUCUUUUUUUUGGUUGCUAUUUUUGCAAAAGGGGAGGUUGGACCCAAUGAGGGUUGCCUACGUAUCUCACACUCUAUGAGAAUCAAACCGGCGUAGUUCAGGCAGAUUAAACAAACUAUUUUAAAAUAAAAAGUUUUUUAUUUUUAUUUUUGUCAUUUCAAAAAUAAAUAAUUAAAAACUACUUUCAAAAGCAAGACUUUUUUUCAUUUUCAAUUUUCAUGGGAAGACAAACUAUUUUUCCUUUUCUACAUUUUUUUAAAAACAAGACAAAAUAAUAACUCUCUUUUUUUCUUUUUUAUUUUCAACAAACAAUAAACAACCUAUUUUUCCUUAACUAAAAUAAAUACUCUUUUUCUUCUUUUUCUCAACAAUCAACUUUCCACAAAAAAAGACUCUUUUUCUUUUCCUUUUCAACAAAUAAUAAAACAACCCAUUUUUCCAAACUAAAAAUAAAAGAUUCUUUUUCUUUCUUUUUCAACAAAUAAUAACACAAUCUAUUUUUCCAAACUAAAACAAAGACUUUUUUUUCUUUUCUAUUAACCAAAAAUAAAACAAUCUGAUUUCCCAAACUAAAACAAAGACCCGUUUUUUUUUUUUUUGCUUUUUGAGUUAUAAUUUUUUUUUCAUUUUCACAAAAUUUCGGCAGAAUUUCGAUAGUAUUUGGGCAUUGGUCUUUCUGAAAAUAAUUAAUUAUUUCUCUACGCUGCUAAUUUCCCUUUUCAUGAUUUUCUAAUAUUCCUAAUUUCAUGAGCCUGUAUGCAUUCAAGUAUGAACAAAUAAAUUCAUAAAGCAAACAAGAUGUAGCAUGAUGGUCUUUUCACUUCAGGUUGCUUAUCCUAGACUGACCAAACCCCUAUGUUGAGUCCCCUAGGUCAAAUUCACAUGGUGCAAAUAGACGUUCCUACUAGGGAUCCGGCAUGAAGCUGUGUUAUUCUAGGUUCAGAACCUGGGUGUUUGUUCUAAACCUGGCCUACCCAAGCGGACAGCUCGAGGCGCGGGGGGAGGGGGGGCAGAAUACCGCGGAUAUAGAAUCUCAACCCGACUUUGCAACGUAUCUGAACCUCGUUCUAAAAAUGGGAUUGACUCUAAACAGAAAAGAAUUCGCACGAAGUACCCCUUAUUCAUGAUAUAGAAGACUCAGAGAGGAGAAUAGUUUUCGGCAAAGUUUAUAUACAGUUCACAAAAUAUCAAAGCGGUAAAAGCAGUUAGUUAGCAUAUUAAGCACAUAUCAUGUAACAAAAUCAGAAAAAGCUAAACAUAACAAUUUAUUCUAAGCUCGAUUUCUAACCCUGAACAGUUGGUUCUAAGUGUUUAUCCCCACCAGAGUCGCCAGAGCUGUCACACCUCCUUUUUACCCGCGCCUGCAGGGGCAUAGUGGAGUUUUUCCAAUAAAAGGACAAUUAAAAUGGAUUUUAAUAAUUAAGAUUCAGAGUCGCCACUAUGGAGAUUUAUGGUGUCCAAAGUCACCGGUUUUACUCCUGAAUCGAGGAAAAGAAUGACUCUGUUUAAGUGUCAGCACACCAGACAUCCGGAUAAGAAAUUCUGUUAACACGGGAGAAGGUGUUAGGCAUUCUCAAAUUCCGUGUUUCUAGCACGAUCGCUCAAUUGUCAUAUUUAGCUUAUUUAUCUGAUUUUUAUACAAUUAUGAACUUAUAUGCAAGUUAUAACUCUUUUGCGGCUUUCAUUAUUAUUAUUUUUACAAGAAUUAAAACGUCAUAAAAAUACAUCUCGAACCACGUCACAUCAAUGUACCUGUGGUUAUCGACACAUUUUGACUCUGUUGAGAUUUAGAUUUGGGUCACAUAAAUGUGCACCCGAUUUUAGGUAGAUAAUAUUAUUAAAUACGCGUCUAGGGAUACUAACACGUUAUUAUUUUGAGAAGGCCGUAAAAUUUGCUAAAUGGCCUGUCCAAAAAUCUAAGCCUUUUUAAUAACCAUCUAUUGAGGGCCCCGCAGCUUGCGAUUUAUUUGGCGAGGCUCAUCUCAUUUAUUUUAAAAGGAGAAUCCUAAAGUGACUACAUUCUUCUAUUAAAUUUAUCUCUAAAAUAAAAGAGAAAAGUCCUAAUUAGUUACAUGCUUCAAAAGGCAGUAACUCAUUUAUCGGAUUAAGACAAGUGCAACUGGAAAAUUGCAAUCGAACUUGCGCUAAGGGAAAUUAUUUCGUGCCUUAUUCUAUAAGCCAAUAUUACUAAAAUUGAAAUUAUCAGUAGAAUAUGGAAUUGGCAUGAAUGAUCAUUCUAAUUUACGCCACAUACUUAGAUUGUGUGUUCAAUUCCUGUGCUUAUUAACAUCAACUCCUAAGUUACCAACACAUGUUAUAAGUAAUGAACUCAAGACAUAUUAAUUUUGACAUUGAAACUUAUUCUACUCAUAUCGAAUAUGGAAAUUACUUAAGAUGUAUGAACUUACUGAUUUCAAUCUAACAGUGCGUGAAAACUAUGUCUGAUUUGUAACUUCAAAUCGUGGAAUGCUAACAUACGAAUAAAUACUAACUAUUGUUGAUAACUACAAUCUAACAUUCCAUCACAAAUAUGAUUUCAGUUAGUCCAAAUUAGCUUGAAUAAAGUCCAGCUAUACAAAGCAUUUACUAAUCUAAAACAACAAAAAUAUAGACAUGCAUUAUCUACUGUCUACUCUACUCUACUAGCUUGGAUGCUUAAAUUUCAACCUACCAUUUCAUUGCAACUUCUCAAUAAAUAAUUACAUCAGCUUGUGUUUCAAGUGUGUGCCUGGAAAUGGAAAACAAUGAAGAAGAAACAGGAAUGAUCAGGAGCAGUAGUAACACAGUAGCAAAAUAAUAGCAACAACCCAGCUAUUCUUCAACCCCAAGAAUGAUUCAAAUGACCAAAAAAAACAAUAGAAAUCCCAACAGAUUGACCCACAGCAAUACCAAAAAUCCAACCAACAACUAAUUAAACCAGUACAGCAAGUUCAACUCCAAAAUAAUCAGUGAACCAAAUAGAAAAUAGAGAUUGACUCACAACUUACCAACACCAGUCAAACGAAUUCGAAAGAUGCACUAGAUUUACUUAGGUUCCAUUUAGUGUGUUUGAAAAUGAAAUCAAUGAAGCAAUGGGGUUUUUAACUUUCAAAUUCUGAAGGUUUCAAAGUACGGAAGAAUUCAGCUUUGAAAACUUUCAAGAAGAACUGAUCCUUUAGCUCUCAAGUUUUUAACUCUCUCUUUUCUUUGUAUGUUUGACUCUCCAAGAUUUUGUUUCAAAAAAAUUUCUCUAAAAAUUGAUGCUUACUUGAAGAAAAUGUUCUCCCUUUUAUUCCAUUCUCUAAUUUUCGAUUACCUUUUCUUUUCUGGAUUUUUAGGCCUUACUAGGUAGUUAAUCAUUCUUAAAUUGGUCCUUUUUAAGACAGAAGUAGUCUUCCACUAAUAAUUGUCUAUUAACUAUUCAAUCCCACUUAGAAUGUCUCUCUUUUGACUAAUCCAUUAGUAUAUUACUCAUUACCUAGUGCCCCCCCCCCCCAUACCAUUAUGUCUUGCUUCCCACUUACUUAUUAGUUUAAUAGCCUUUAAUACCCUACUUUUAGAUUGCUAAUAUUAAACUAAUUCCCUAAUAUUUUUAUUCUCAAAUUGCCCCUUAAACCCUCUGACUAUUACUACCCCAAGACAAUCUGUUCAAACCUAAAGAAAAUUACCUAAAACUAAUUCUAAUUAACAGUUAUAACCAAUUUUCCUGACCAAAUUCAACCAGUGAUUCAAUAAGCAAAAGAUCAAGAUCAAAAUGGCAUCAAAACAAUGAGUUGAUCAUAUUGAUAAAAGAACAAACAGGGAGACAAUAAGCAAAACUAAAAUAGUAUGAAUUGAGGAAUGAGCUUAUCACGUGAAAAACUAAAGAACGUGGGAUGGCAUAGAUAUAGGGAACAUGCAAACACAACUCUAACUCAAAUAUACAUACAAGAUGCAGGAUUGUUGAAAGUAUAUUUGACACUGAAUUCCCUGAAGCGGGGAACACAAACAUAAACACAGGUUACCAAGGACAGUUCGAAGAGCACAAACAAUGACCUAAUUGAUGAAAUUUAAUUGAUCGACAACAUAGUUUAUAACAUAUAAUCAGAAAAUUUGGACCAAAGAAAAAGGUCAGUAAAAGGGGGAGAAGAAAAUAACUGACAAAAAUAAUGAACUUAAUACAAUAGUAUAAAUAAAUAACAAUAUACCUAAACAUAGAACAAACAAAAGAAAGGAAAAAUAACUCAAGAACUCAGAAACCAGACGGACUCGACUUGAAACUCUGACUUGCGCCUUUUUGGGGUAAAAACAGACUUUUAAUCGGGUGUUCUCAACUAAGAAGACUCGACUAAAGUCAAUUGAGGCACCCAUUUCUUUUAUUUUUGACAAACUUCAGCCUAGGUCUUGUCUUGGUUUAUACGGUUCGAUUUGGGAUUCGAAUGAUUCCAACGUGAUUCGGAGGGAACCAUUGGUGAUUCAGAGGUGAAGGAGGCCUGGUAAAUAUCUAGUGUGAGUUUGGGGUGGAUUGGGUUUAGUUCACGGUUUGCUCGAAUCUUCGAUAAAAGAUUCGAGAAGCUGGGGGAUGAUUCGAAGCAAACUGUUAAUGGAUUCGUGUUCAGGGUGGUUAGAAGGUCCUAGGGUGUUGGUAUGCCACUGGGUUUCAAAUGGAGGAACAGGGUGGCAGCUAGGGUUUAGCCCUAGCUUGUCUUUGAGAGAGAGAGAGACGAUGAAUAGUGGAAUGGGGGGAGGGGUGUUUGAUUUGGAGGGGCUGGGGUGAGAGAUGGGGAUUAUAUACUGGGGGAGAUGGUUUGAUCUUGGCCGUUGGAUCAAGCAUGAUCAACGCCCUGGAUCAUUUACUUACGGGGAAAUGGUGCUGUUUUGGUUAAUUGGGGAAUUGGGUCUGUCCGGGAAAAACGGGUCUGGGCUGGAGAGAUGAUCUCGACCGUUGGAUCAUGAUCAAUGGAUGGUUGAGAUCUCUUGGCCAUGGAACGACGUCGUUUUGGACGUCUGAGAGGUCUGGUCAAAUUGACCGAGUUAAAACUUCGUUCGAAUCAUCGGAAGGCUAGAAAUGCAAAUGGUAAUCAUCUCCCACUUCUUCUCGGGCAGCUCAAUCCUCUAAAAUAAACCACCGAUCCUCUGAUGCUGGUACUUAACCUGCUGAAUGUUCAGACAACGAGCCACAUAUGCAACAAUAUUCUUCUUCAUUCUAUGCCACCAAUAAUGCUGCCUUAAAUCCUGAUACAUCUUCUGACGCCCGGAUGAAUAAAAUACCGAGAACUAUAGGCCUCCACUAAGAUCGACUCCCGAAUACAAUCAACACUGGGCACACAAACUCGCCCCUGCAAUCUCAAUACAUCAUCAUCUCCCAAGGUCAUUUUUUGGCACCUCCUCGUUGCACUGUGUCUCUUAGGACACACAAAUGGGGAUCAUCAAGCUACCGCUCAUGGAUACGCUCCAUCAACGACGAAUGAGCAACCAUGCAAGCUAACACCCGGCUAGGCUCAGAAAUAUCCAACCUCACAAAUCGAUUGGCCAAGGCCUGAACAUCCAAUGAAAGCCGUCUCUGGCUGACAGUAAUAUAGGCAAGAUUACCCAUGCUGGCGGACAUCCUAGUCAAUGCAUCGGCUACCACAUUGGCCUUCCCCGAGUGGUAUAAGAUAGAAACAUCAUAGUCUUUAAACAACUCCAACCACCUCCUCUGCCUCAAAUUCAAUUCCUUUUGUUUGAAUAAGUACUGAAGGCUCUUGAGAUCCGUGUACACCUCACACGUCACACCAUAUAAAUAAUGCCUCCACAUCUUCAAGGCAUGAACAAUGGCUGCCAGCUCUAGGUCAUGAACUAGAUAUUUAUUCUCGUGGAUCUUCAACUGACUCGAAGAAUAUGAUAUGACUCUGCCAUUCUGCAUCAACACUGCGCCAAGCCCGAUACGGGAAGCAUCACAAUACACAAUGUGAGGCCCUGAUCCUGUGGAGAAAACAAAUACCACUGACGUAGUCAGAAUUGUCUUGAGCUUCUGAAAGCUCGCCUCGCGCUCAUAUGACCACCUGAACUAGGCACCCUUCUAGUUCAAUCUCGUCAUCGGGGCUGCAAUGGAUGAAAACCCCUCCAUGAACCGUCGGUAGUAACCUGCUAAUUCCAAGAAACUCCGGAUCUCUGUAGCUGACGUUGGUCGAGGCCAGUUCUUGACUGCCUCAAUCAUCUUCGGGUCCACCUGAAUACCCUCUGAUGAAACAACAUGACCCGGGAAUGCAGUUAAACUAAACCAAUACUCGCACUUUGAGAACUUGGCAUACAACUGACUAUCCUUCAGAGUCUGAAGAACCACUCUGAGGUGCUGCUCAUGUUCCUCUUGACUGCGGGAGUAUAUCAGAAUGUCGUCAAUGAAUACAAUCACGAACAAGUCCAAAUAGGGCCUGAACACUCGGUUCAUCAACUCAUAAAUGUUGCCGGGGCAUUGAUCAACCCAUAUGACAUGGCCAAAAACUCAUAAUACCCAUACCGAGUGCAAAAUACUUUCUUAGGGACAUCAGACGCCCUAAUCCUCAGCUGAUGAUAACCAGACCUCAAAUCUAUCUUCGAGAACACCCCAGCACCCUGAAGCUGGUCAAAUAAAUCGUCAAUCCUCGACACUAGAUACUUGUUUUUUAUUGUCACCUUGUUCAACUGCCGGUAAUCAAUGCACAUUCUCAUCGACCCAUUCUUUUUCUUCACGAAUAACACUGGCGCGCCCCAAGGCGAUACACUAGGUCUAAUGAAACUGUUAUCAAGCAAGUCCUGAAGCUUCUCCUUCAACUCUUUCAACUUUGGCAGCGCCAUGUGAUAUGGCGGAAUGGAAAUAGGCUGAGUGCCCGGAGCCAAGUCAAUACAGAAAUCAAUAUCCCUGUUGGGCGGCAUACCCGACAGGUCUGGAGGAAAAACCUCGGGGAACUCCCGAACAAUAGGAACAUAGUCAAUAGAUGGAACCUCUGCACUGGAGUCACAAAAAUAUGCCAGAGAUGCUAGACACCCCUUAUCAACCAUACGUCGAGCCUUGACCUGGGGUCCCUCUCCACUCAGUCGGGGCAAGUUUUUCAAAGCCAAGGUCACAAUCUUAGCGUGAUAGUCCAAAAUAGCAUGAUACGGGGACAACCAACCCAUCCCCAAUAUAACAUCGAAGUCCACCAUAUCUAAGAGCAAUAAGUCGACACGGGUCUCAAGACCCUCAAAUACUACCACACAUGAUCGAUGCACUCGGUCGACCACUAUAGAAUCACCCACCGGUAUAGACACAUAUACAGGAGUACCCAAGGCCUCACUAGGAAUAACCAAAUAGGGUGCAAAUAGGAUGAAACAUAUGAAUACGUAGAUCCCGGAUAAAAUAUCAUUCAAGCACCUCUAUCACAUACCAGAAUAGUACAUGUAAUCACAGCAUCUGAUGACUCGGCCUCUGGCCUAGCUGGCAAAGCAUAACAACGGGUCUGGGCCCCACCUCCCUAAACCAUAUCCCUGGGACGAUCGGCUACUGGCUGACCCCUUCCUCUGGAGGUCUGGGCUCCACCUCUAUGCUCCAUGCCUCCACCUCUAUGGCCUCUACCCCCGCCUCUAGCUGGGUGGGUGGCCUGUAAAUCACCUGCUGCCUGAAUCAUCGAACGGGGACCCUGCUGCUGCGACCGAGAACCUCUCAUCCUUGGGCAAUACCUUCUGAUGUGACCAAGGUCUCCAUACUCAUAACACCCAUCUGAAUGUGGCAACUAAGAAAACUGGGACUGACCCUGUCGCCCUAAAUGACCUCCUCGAAGGCUCGGAAGUGGUGGUGGAUGAACUGCCGAUCAGAAUAGUGCUACUGAGAACCACUACCGCUUGCAGUACCAUGUGAAACCUGAAGUGCUGACUGAAAGGGCUUCUGAGGGUGGCCUCAACCAUAUGAAUCCCUACCUCCAGAUGAGGUGCCGUUGAACCUACCAGAAUGACGAGGCCUCUUAUUUGACCCCUGAUCACCUCCUCGUGCAAGUGCCAUCUCUAUCCGGCGGGCCGCAUUGGCCGCCUCCUAAAAGACAUAUCACUACCGGCUCCCAUAGCCAUAUGAAGCCGGAUCGACUAAGUCAACCCAUCAAUAAAUCUCCACACCCUCUCCCUCUCAGUGGGGAUUAUAACAAUAGCAUGGCGUGCCAAAUCAAUAAAACGAGUCUCAUACUACAUGACUAUCAUAGUACCCUGAUGAAGACGCUUAAACUGUCUGCGUAGACCAUCUCACUCAAUCACCAGGAGAAAGUUCUCCACGAACAACUCUGCAAACAGAUCCCAAGUAAAUAAUGGCGACCCUGCUGGCCCAGAUAAACAAUAGUCCCUCCACCAAUAGUCCCUCCACCAAGUCUUGGCGGAUCCUGCAAGCCGAAAAGUGAUAAAGUUGACCCCAUUGGUCUCCACAAUACCCAUAGUCCUAAGAACCUCAUGGCAGCUGAAUAAAAAGUCCUGAGGGUCCUCUGUAGAAGCACCGUUGAAGGUGGUGGUGAGAGCUUGGUGAACCUAUCAAGCCUCCACAAAGCAUCCGCGGACAUCGCCGCACUAUCGCCGGUCUGAGCUGGAAUACCCGGCUGGGCUGCUACGGCCGGCUGAGCUGUUAGAACCUGCGGCUGAGGAGCUACCUGCUCCGGAGUACACGUAGCGGGAGUCUAAACUCCUCCCCCAGCUAGAGAUGUGGCUGGUGCUACAGGAAGUAAACCCGUUCUAGAGUUGCUCUCCAUAAAGCCUAUCAAUCGGACCAAAGUGCCAUGGAGUACUAGAGUGGCUAUGAAACCCUUUGGGACCUGAGUUGGGCCCACCAGAGCUUCUGGUGCUAGAACCUCCUCAUCGUAGUCAACAUGAGGCUCUACCUCUAGGAAUGCUGCUCGAGGCUGAGCUCUACCCCGGCCUCAGCCUCUGGCACGGCCUCGGCCUCACCCUCUGACCCCUGAUAGGAGCUGCUAUGCGGUAGUAGAGGAAGCACGUGUUCUCACCAUCUGCGAAAUAACAUAGUAGAAUGACAAUCAGUAUUUGAGAAACAGAAUCGCACGAUAAGAAUGAACAAAGUGAAAUUUUUUUUUCUAACUCUAUAGCCUCUAGGGAUAAAUACAGACGUCUACGUACCGAUCCCUCAGACUCUACCGAGCUCGUCCGUGAGUUGUGAGACCAACGUAACCUAGUGCUAUGAUACUAACUUCUCACGACCCGAAUUUUCCACCAUCGAGAGUCAUAAUGGCACCUACUAUCGUAGCUACGCAAGCCACAUAUUAAAAUAUUUUACUGAUUUCAUUUAAAUAAUAUAAUAAGCUGGAAUAAAUAAUUAAAGCGGAAGACUUUCAAAUGCUUAAGUAACUUAAAACAGAAAUACCAAAGUUCCAAAAUAUACUUCUACCUUGUAUCUGGUGUCACUACUCAUGGACUACUACGAAUUACUAAAACAAGAGUCUGAAAGAAAUACAUAUAAUGUCUGUCUCGAUACAAUGAAAACAAAUAGUACUAAGAAGGAACUUCAUCCUGUGACUAGGCUACCUUGAGAUUCCCUGGACUAAAGACAGCUCCCAGAACUCCUACUGCUGCGGUUCGUAAGCUGCUCCCUAAUCUGUGCACAAAAAUGCACAGAGUGUAGCAUCAAAACAACCGACCCCAUGUGCUGGUAAGUUCCUGGCCUAACCCCGGCAAAGUAGUGACGAGGCUAGACAGGACCUACCAAAAAUAACUUGUACAGAUAUAGGUGCAAUAACAUGAAAUACACUAAUUUAAAUAACUAAGAGGGAGGGAGCAUGUUGUGGGGUACGACAGUUUAAAUAUAGAAAUUAUCGGAUAAGAAGUGAAGCUAAACAACAACAACUGAUAAGGAAAAACAAGGAAAAUCUACAUAUGAGAACAAUACACUUGGUCCAUACUCUGUUGUAGCGCGCAACCCGAUCCUCAAUAUUUAAUACAGUUGCGACGUGCAACCCGAUCCUCAAUAUUUAACACCGUUGCGAGUGCAACCUGAUCCUCAAUAUUUAAUACCAUCGCCGCAUGCAACCCGAUCCUCAAUAUGUAAUACCGCUGCGGCGUGCAACCCAAUACUCAAUAUUUAAAAAUAAGAACUCACCAAACAACAACCACAACUCAAGUGCGAGGGGAGUAAGAACAAAUGCAAUAAGUCCCGGCGAGGGAAUACCAUUAACAACUCAAAUGUCCCGGCAAGGGAGGAUAAAGAAAUACAAAAAUCUUGGCAAGGGAAUAGUCACAACACUUCCUCUUAAUAUUACUUAUUCCUCGUGUAACAAUUUCUAGUCUGAGCCAAUGCUCUAAUGACAAACCAAUCACAAACCUUUCUCAACUAUUCACUUUAUAUUAAACUUAUCAACCAAGCAAGCAAGAUAUAUCAUCAAAUCCGAAUCAAACACAAAUAAGACUCAGAGUCAUGCUAGACUCCGGUGCAUAGAUAACCGUCACCAUACUCCACAUUUAGCAAGUAGCAAUUAAUAUCCUAAUCAUAUUCCCUCACGCCAAAAGUUAGAACAAACACUUACCUCGGUCCACAAAUAGCAAUCAACUCUCUAAAAUCGCCUUUCCUCUAGAAUCCAACUCCAGAACAAUGAUAUCUAGGUACAAUUUAGUUAAUUGUCAAUAAUGGCUCAAAAACAUAAUCUCAUAGCAUAGAAACGAAAUUCCAAUCAUUCUUCCAAAAUAUUCAAAAUCGUACCCCGAGCCCACAUGGUCCAAACUCGACGCUCGGGCCAAAAUUCGAUCGCCCAUAACACCACGUGUUCAAAUAUAUAAUUUAUUUUAAGAUUCGAUCCCAAAUUGAGGUUGAAUCAUCCAAAAUCCCCAAAGCCCUAGUUCUACCCAAAACCCCCAAUUUCUGCCCUAAUCUAUAUGAUUUAAGCUUAGAAAUUCAGUAAUUAAUGAAGAAAAUGAAGGAGAUAAGUGGAAUUUUACUACCUUAAGUGAUCUUGAAGAAAGGGGGCUUCAAUGGACUCCUAAGUGCUCGGGGAGGAAGAGAGUUCAAGUAUUUUUCUAAAAGAACCCGUAGCUACUGUUUUGAGGCUGCUCUUGGAUUCAUUUUAUAGCAUUUUGGAGUUGAAUUUUAGCUGGUUUGAGACUGUCUUUUGCGGCUUUUGGAGGCUGGUUUAAAGGUGAUUUUGAGCUGGAAAAAGGGCAGCAUUUAGAACGUAUUUUGCAGCUGAUUUUAUCACUUCUCUGGGAUGUUUUUCGCAGCCAUUUCAGCUUCAUUUUUAGGCUGAAACAGGGACGUUCUUGAAUUGAUUUUUAGAGCUAAAGAUGGUGUAUUUUGGGAAGAAGAAGCAUGUCUUUUUUUUCAUGGCUGUUUGGAGUAUUUUAAUGGAGGUUUCUCACUGAUUUUCAUGGUGUCGAAGGUGGGCUUUAUUGUGGCUGUUUGGAGUUAGUUUGAUGGGUGUUUGGAGGUGAAAGGAGUUGAUAUUUUUUGGGCUGAUUGCAACAGCUCGUUACUGUAUAUUUUUGAAGGUUUAUGAGAUUAGUUUUGAUGGAGUUUCAAGAAGUGCUUUUGGAGGAAACAAUGAGAUGGUAAUGGUGGAGAUUCGCCACUCUUUCAUGGCUGAAUAUUUGGGUGUAUUUUUGUGUUCAAGAACAAAGAAAUGGCUGCCCUUGUUUUCAGAAGAAUGAGCUGCACCUUUUUUUUCUUUUCUUCUUUUUUUUCGUGGCCUAUUCAAAAUUUGCCCGAGCCCUCGGAGCUCCAAACCAAAUAUACUCACAAUCUAAUAAAUAUCCCACGGACUUAUUCGAGCGAUCAAUUCGCUAACAUCAUAAAUGAAGAAUCAAACCCCAAAAUCAAUACUUUUCAUCAAACUUGUUAAACUUCUAACUUUAGAUUUUUAGGUCCGAAACACGUCAAACGUCGUUCGAUUUCGAACAAAUUUCACAUAAAGCUCUUAACGCAUUUUAAGACCUGUACCGGACGUGAGAACCAAAAUACGAACUUGAUGCCUAUAUUUUCUAAUUUAUUUUCUUUUCAAAAUACCAUAUCAUUUUCAGAAAAAUAAUUUCUUUCAAAAAUUCCAUACUCGAGCUUGGAACCUCAGAUUUCGAUCCGAGAAUACGCCUGAGUCCCAUAUUUUCCUACGGACCUCCUGGGACCGUCAUAUCACGGGUCCGGGUUCGUUUACCCAAAUAUUGAUCAAAGUCAACUAUUUCAAUAUUAAUAUCAAAAUUAUUCAUAUUUUCCACAUAUUUCACAUAUUUUAACAUAAAAUUUUCCGGCUUCGUGCCCGGACUGUGCAGGCGAAUCAAGGCAACUAAAAGCAAGAUUUUCAAGGCCUCGAAAAUACGAAAAAAGAGAGAAUUAUGGUGAUGACUCCUUUGGAUCGUCACAACCUCUUUUUCACAAAUCUUUAAAAAAUCAAAGAAUUCAAUUUUAAAUUUGAGUUAUCUAAUAACUCUUUGAAAAACCACAAUAAAAGUAUAGUUGCCAUAUUUUGUGACUUCUCGAGCAAAUAUAGUUAAAAAUGUUUGUAGCAAAUCACUUAAAUAUUCAAGGGCUAUAUAUUUUUGCUAAACUAAAAAAGAAUAAUUUGAUAACUUGUGAAAGUGAAGCGAUAAAAUUAUAAAACUGACACAAAGUUUAAGGCGACAAAAUUGAAUGGUGAUUGAGGACUUCUAAGCGACAAAGUUUCUACUUUUCUCGAGUUAACUAUUUAGGAUCAAUGUCAUCGUUUUCAAGAGGGGAUGGUAAGCAACUUCCACUUUCAAUCGAGAGGUUGUGAGUUUGAGUCUCCUCAAGAGUAAGGUGGGAAGUUCUUGGAAGGAAGGAUGCCGGAGGUCUAUUUGAAAACAGUCUCUCUACCCUAGGGUAGGGGUAAGGUCUGCGUACACACUACCCUCCCCACACCUCACUAAGUGGGAUUAUACUGGGUUGUUAUUGUUGUUGUUGUUGUUGUUAUCAUUUUCAAUAGCUUAUACUUAUAUUUUUUAAUUUGAACAUAAUUUUUAGCAUAAUAAUUGUGUGAUACUGUACACGCGCAACGCGCGUACGCCAAAACUAGAUAGUUUGGCUCUAAUCUCGAAAAAGCACAAAGGCCCUUAGCGAAAUGUCAUUUGCCUUUUUUACUUUUAAAAAUAGAGUUAACAUCGGACAAUAUAGUAAUUUUAAUAUUUUCUAAUAUGUAGGAAUGAUGAUUUAAUUAUUUUCCUAAUUGCUGGAAUAUUAGAAUCAACUAUAAUUCUGAAUAUUUAUUUUUUCCAUAUUUAGAAUUUUACAAGCAAUUAAAAUUUAUUUCAUAUAGAUUUCCUUAUUUAAAGACCAUUAAUAUUAAAGUCAAACAAUAAUAUAUUUUUUGCAUUCAAAACUUAGAAAUUGUAUUUGUACAAAUAGGCACACAUUACCCAAAACUAAUAGGAACAUCGAAUAAUUAAAAAAUUUAAGGAACAAUAAUUGUAAAAACACAUUGUCAAUUGAAUUUUCUCUUGAAAUUAAUGAUAUUACAAAUUUAUUUUUGGACAAGUUUAUCUGAGUAUAUAAUUUUAAGUGUUAUAUAUAAAUUUGUGUUAUUUGCAACAAGUAUUUUUAUGUUACUUUUUUCUGAUAUUAGAUACAAAACUAAUAACAAUUUUAUAAGAUAUUCCACAUACCUAUGAGGCAUAAUUUAUUAUUUUAUUGAACUAACUAAAGUGAGAUUAACAUUCUAUUAAUUUUAUGAACUUACUUUGUGUCUCAAACACAUUGCUUAAUUUUUUUUUCAAAUUUUUAAGUCAAUAUAUAUUGAUAUAAGAAACACGCUCAAAGCGUGUACCCUAAGAUUAGGUACUAUAUAUAUAUAUAUAAAAGCCAAAUUCAAUAGGUCAUGAGUAUUUUUGUACCUUUCCGUUUUCCAAAAUGAUCCUCCCAACUUGUCCAAGUCAUGACCCUUAUUUUUUAGCGUGUUACUUACGUUUUUACCCUUUGCGUUGACGGAAACAACAAAAACAAUUUCAUUUUCAAUAAUUAAGUACUAACUCCGAUGUGUAUUUAUUACUUUUUAAAAAUUAUUAUACAUCCUAUAAGAAAGAUGUAUAUAAUAAUCUUUGUUAUAGUAUUAUUUCCGAAUUGCCAUUUAUCUCUCCUUAAACAUCUUCAUUAAUACUGUAAUAAUUGAAAUAUAAAAACAACAAAUAUUUUAAAAUAAAAUUCACUUCAUCAAAACGAUCAAUAUCUGGAAUCAAGUAGUGGAACUGACAAACGUUAGGUGAUGGCCACUUCUCCAACUUUAAAAAAUACAGAAAAUUUGAUGAACUUCUUGGCAAAGACGCCUCUAUAUUAGGAUCGAAUACUUACUCGUGGUUUUCCUUUUACAAGUUUCUUGAUCAUCUGCUUCAUCAAUCUUGAACCGAUAGAGCGUUCUUUCCUUUUCUUUUAACUGUAUCUGACGCACAUUAAGCUUGUUUCAAACAAGCCAAAUUCAUACGUACUUAUGACUCGGUUCAAAAUAUAUUUCCAACUUAAAGGCAAGCUCAAUUUUUUUUUUUUCACAAGUCAAACUCGAUCUCGAUUUUGCAGUAUUUAACUAAGAUAAGCUCGAUAAUUUUAAACUUGUUCAGAGUUCGGUUAGACAUAGUUGCUUGAUAAUCACAUCACAUUCAAGUAACAACAACAACUACCCAGUAUAGUCCCACAAAGUGGGGUCUGGGGAGGGUAAUAUGUUGACGAGUCUUACCCCUACCCGAAAGGGCAGAGAUCACAUUCAAGUAAUAUAAGAAAAUAGAAAGAAUACAGGUUGAUUUCUACCUCUUUAUAGUUCUAUAUUGGCAUGUCUAGAUAGUUCAACUCAAAAAAAAAAAAGUGCAGAUUCUUUAAGCUAAUGAAGAAUGAUGUUUCACAAACUUGUAAUGUGAUUAUUCCAUUUUGGAGUAAUCAACUUGCCCGGCAGAGCAAGAUCAUGUUUAGUGAUACAGAAAUGGCCUACUAACACUAUUACGUGGUUUGUCCACAUCUCAAUUAAAACUGGUUGCCACAUUAAAUGUGAAUAUCAUUCUCAAUAUGCAUCAAAAUCGUCUUUCAUCCUCCAACAAAACUAGAUAUAUAUGAAUCUAACUUUGAAUAUUUUAACAUAAUAUCUCUUUAGCCACUCGUCACGUCUCUACAGCACAGAGAUCGCCUCCAGCAUCCCCUUCCCUUCAACAUAAUCUUGUUUAAAGGUAGUAAGUGCCAGAGGCCAGAAAUCCUAACAAGGGGAUCCAAAAACUAAAGAAUGCAACAGCUAGGGUUCAAACUUAGCACACUAUUUAUGCAGCAAUUCAAGAAAUGGCUAUUCUAAAUAAAAGAACGUUAUGGGACACCAUACAGCAUCACUCCAGAAUAUCAUCGGGGGGGGNNNNNNNNNNNNNNNNNNNNNNNNNNNNNNNNNNNNNNNNNNNNNNNNNNNNNNNNNNNNNNNNNNNNNNNNNNNNNNNNNNNNNNNNNNNNNNNNNNNNNNNNNNNNNNNNNNNNNNNNNNNNNNNNNNNNNNNGGCAACCUUAGCAAUUUACAAUAUUUGUAGUUCCAAAUUUUAAAGCACUGAUGAAACUUUAAAAGUUUGAUAGUCUACUCUUUGAUUUCACAUAAGCGCACUUUCAUGCAAGCUCAAGCAGGAAGUGACUGGAAUAUUGUAUUCGGAAAGAAUCAAAUUGAUUGAGAAAUAGAAAGGAUAAUGGUUUCCUCAACUAUUGAGACCUUCCAGGGGCUUCUCAGUGCUGCUGACAUAUUAUUUUGGACAGUACAGAACAAAGGAUCUUCACUGUGAAAUCUUGCUACAAAUUCACGAUAGCAGGUGAGAGUCAGAAGUCAUCCUAGUAAUGGAACCAAAUUUGGAAAACAAGAGCACCAUAUCAAGUGACUUGUUUUUCAUGGUUAGUUGCCUAUGCAACUUGUUUGACAUAGGAAAAUCCACAACAGGGAGCAGACUUGCAAACCUGCAAUAGAUGCUACCUAUGUAGGAAAGAAGAUGGAAGGUAACGGCCAUCCUCUUUUCCAGUACAUCGCAGCUAUGUCAUUUUUGUUUGAGCAUUCUGGAUCUGAGAUAGGUCAGGACUCAGGCCAAGAACUACCCAAGAACACAGAUGCUGGUGCAAGAAAUGCCUUAGUGAGGGUCUUAGCAGCAUAUGGAACACCAUAUCAGCUUUGUUUUUGAUGGACACUUUGGAGGGGAAGGAAUCAAAGUUGUUUGGGCGGCUAAGCAGACUCCAAUUCGAUGGUCAAGUUUAACUGUAUAUUAUUGGUUUACCUAUGAUGUUAUGUAGAGUAUGUAGAUGAGCCUGAAACAUUAUUAUACUUAACAAGUUCUUAAUGGAAUUUAAUGGACUAUGUUUUUUUCUCUUUGAUGUAUAUAUCAUAGGACCAACUUGGUUCUGUAGCAUUAAUAAAAUUAUCCUGUUUAGUGGAUUAAAAGAAGGUUCAUGCAGAUUGCAGGCUUAAGAAGCCGGGAGCAGCUUGAUUUUUCUAUAGUAUCAAAGUUAUUUCGACUUGUGUGGCAUUUCACUAUCUUAAGAACAAGAUGUGCUCCGCUGUUUCUUCUCCUCUUUUUACCAUAGUGUUAAACUUAAAGCCAUGUGCUUCUCUUUUUUUACCCAUAUUCCACUUAUAUGAAACAUAACAAUCCCUCUAUCCCAAGAUAACUAGUAUGUUACUUCCUCUAAUAUCAACAGUCAAACUUUCACAGAAAGUAACUUUAGUCCUGAAUUUUAAUGCUAUUAAAGAUUAAAAAGUAUUAAAAAAUACCAACCUAUAUACUUAGUAUAAGAUCAAAUUCAUCAAAGUUAACCUUUUUUUCAUUUUUAUACAUUUCCCAUUACAUACUAUAGAACUUCCAACUUACCACGAUACUUGUCUCCAGUCAAGUUACAAUACUUAACAUGGAGUGAAGGGAACAUCGAUUAUUCAUACUAUAGAGUAGUCAAGGCCCAAGUAAGCAUAAUGAUAAGCUGACUUAACCAAAGAACAUCCUGCGGUAAUUUACAAGGCAAUAUUAAUCUGUAGGGGAAAAGAAGGGCAUAAAAGUAGACCGAAUCGCUCAGAAUAUCUAAGUGCCUUACUACACAUAAAACCUCAACUGCUAGUUCUGAAAAGUAACAAAUUUCAGGUACAAAAAUAUAAAAAGGUCAACAAGAUUACCAUACGAAGUUACAUACAAAGGCACCCAGUCCUCAUUGAGAAGGGUAAAUACAUGGUCCAGCCUUCCGCAUAGGUUAAUAAAGUACAAACAACAGAAAGUGCAUUAUACCAAAAACAUACACUACUAGAUAUAUUAUUCAGUUUUUAUUUUUAACAUGGCCUGAACCAUCCUCUACAGCCACAUUGACCUUUUCAUACCUGAAGUCUCCGGGAUGCACUGAGCUCUUCACUGGGAUCACUACCUCGGAAUUAUUGCCAAGUAUCACCCACAAAAAAAGUCCAAUAAAGGUCGCCAAUGCUAUACACCCUGAGGCAAAAAUAAACCCUGAGAGAAAUGCCAUAAGAUGAAACUUUUUUUUGUUAGCCAUCUUUUCCAGACUAUGUUCGUUGCCAAUUUUAAGUGGAUCCGCAGGCUGUGAAUGUAACCACUUUGGAACACUCCGCACUCUGAAGUUCCAUGAAUAGACGCUAGUAACUUGGAAUGAACUUCCAGUAGAAGAACUUAAUCCCACCAAUACUUCUUCGCCUUUCCACAUACUCGCCAAAUCGACCUGAUACACUAACAAGGGAUCGUACGGCCUAGGACUACCAAAUUCACUUAGUCUUACCUCUAAUCGUUUCAAAGUGCAUUCGUAAUCAACCCAAGAAUGCAGCUAUUUUCCACUAUUCAACACCAAGUUGAUGAACGAAACGUUGGUUGAUUUUUUAGAAACAAGACUGCCCGCAUUCACACCCACAUGAUUGGCACUUUUCAGAAACAAGACUGCCCGCAUUCACGCCCACAUGAUUGGCACUUUUAUCCCCCACAUUUUUGUUCAACAAAGUAUCAAACUCAACCCCAAAAAAUCGCCUUUCAUUAGAAAGCCCGAACAUUUUCUUGGAAAACUUGGAGGGGAAAUCAGUAGGCACAAUAACGAAGGAAAGGCCAUCUUAGUAGGCACAAUAACGAAGGAAAUAACGCUGGGUCAUAAAUUAUGGGUCGGGGCGGGUUUAAUUAAUGGAAUGGGGCAGGUCGUCUGGUCCAAUCAUAAGAUGCCACGUGCUACUAAAAUUUGGAGUUGAUUCAGAUGGAAAAUUCUCAAUUCAGAAGCUUUAAAAGAGACGACUUUGAUGGGUCGGUUAGUUGCACAAAGGAGCCUUCUUUAGUGAUUUUAGCAUCGCCAAUAAGGCCGAGAUUAGGAUCAAAGUGGGAACUGAGUCCAAUUGAGAAGGAGAAAAUGGAGAACGGGAGCAAAGUCAAGAGAAGAAGAAGAAGGUAGAUAGGAACAUUGUAGAGCAUCAUACCGCUGGGAAUGCGCAAUGUGGGCAUCAUUCAUGCGCUGACAACGGAAAAUUUGAGAGUAUUUGGCUACUAUUAAGGUUAGGGUUUGGGUUUUGUUGAUGCUCUGAAGGUGGAGUUCUUGGAGUAAAGUGGAAGGUAAAAUAGGAAUGUCUCUUGGAACUGGAACAGUCAACACUUCGUACUUUGUGGUCAACAACUAGAUGGCUGUGUUAUCUGCGGCAACUAGGUGCUUUUGGUAGUUGCUGUUUAUAAGAUGUUGGAUCCAUUGAAAAAUUUUCCUUUAAAAAAAAAAAAGAAACAAAAAAAACAAAACAAAAAAUUCAAAAAUAUUUAUACAUUAAAUUUUGCAAUUUUUUGAAAAUUUUUGAAAAUGAGUUUUUCAAAAAGAUUAAUUUUCAAAAUUUUCAG